GACGAUUCAUGCGAUUAGGAUGGUGCUUCUGUUUUCUUGUUUUGCUGCCAUAUGUUUAGACCCUGAACUGCUGGUAGGAAAAUUAAUGGCAUUAUGAUGCGAGUCAUCUCCGCAUUGAAAUUCGGUUGCACAUUAUCUUUCUGUUGCACAAUGACCCUUUGCCCAUGUGAAGUCAGAUUGAUCUUUUCUCUCAAUGUAGGAACUGCAUCCAUGCCUCCAGAAUGGCCGCAGGGCUAUCAUCAGCAUCGUCGAUCUAACAACCGAUUCUUCUGAGAAAGGACUUAAGGUAUUUCUUCUCCGAGUGGAUCUAUAUUUUAUGAAGUAGAAUCAGUGGCCCAAUUCCUAAUAUUUCGUCAUGAUGAAUACGUAUAUAGUUACUUAGUUUGACAUGUUUAAGUAAUUAGAAGGGUGCGAGGUGGCAUGGUAACCAUAGUGCAGCUAAAGUAAUUGUUAAGAAUGAUCUUUUUUCGUAAAAAAAAUACCCAUAGUUUAUGUUGGAAUUUUGGCAAAAGACUAAGUAGAUCAUUUAGGGUUCCUCGAAAAAUCCUAAUACCUGGGUCAGAGUGUAUAUGAUAUCACUUUUAAGAUUGUUUAAUAUAAAGUGACAAAACUUCUGCUAUAACAAGUGGGUAACUUUUAUCGAAACUAUAUUGUUAACUAUGAUAUCAUGAUAAUCUUUUGAUCGAAUAUUUUUAAUACGCAUAUGAGAUUUUCACAACUUGAUUUGGUUCCACUUUCUUGACAAAUUUGUGCAAAAUGUUUUCAGGUACUCAACCUAUUGAUGCACAUGGACAUGAUGACUCUCUAGCGUUUAUGGACCAACCAACCUGUAAUCAUGGACCUUAUUGUCUUGUAGACCAUUUGGUGUUUCGAGUGUUUUGGAGCUUGCACUUUGUGCAUGUAGAUACAAACUUAUGUGUUCUGGACCAUCUGAAGUCUCUCAUAGUAACCAAUAGUCCUUAUCUUUUUGUGACUUGUGUUAGAUGAUUGUUAAGAUGGUCAAAACUAUCCUUCCUCUAGGUUAAUUUAUUUGUCAACUUGCGUUCAAUGUAUGUGCAUGUUUAUAAACAUAUUUUCAUUGUGGUGUAAUAUGUGUUUAUCUUGAACCUUCUUGUGGGUGUGAGGAUAAUAAUUGAAUAUUUUUAGAGCUGGUAGUAUAACCUGUGGCACACCAUGAGCUAUACUAAUGGGACACCUGGGAAGCAUACUAAUGGCGCACUUGGGAGGCAUACUAAUGGCGCACCUGGGAGGCAUACUAAUGGCGCACCUGGGAGGCAUACUAAUGGCGAACCUGGGAGGCAUACUAAUGGCGCACCUGGGAGGCAUACUAAUGGCGCACUGCUUGGUGCGCCAUUAGUAUAUCAGAUACUAAUGGCGCACCUGUGGUGCGCCAUUAGUAAAAAAUUCUAAUGGCGUGAUGCUAGUGGCGCACCUAUAGUACGCCAAUAGUAGCCAAAACAGGUGCGCCACUAGCAGGACUUUUCCUAGUAGUGUGUGCACGUCAUGCACCUCGGCAACCUUCAAGCGGAAGCCCAGCGAGGGAGUCGGCCACGACCGUUAACCAUGCUAACACCUAGUCCAGGUUUAUCGCCUAUUUGAGAGUAACCCGCACGGAAGUCCGGCCAUGGUUUUCGCCACGGCCCCAAAUGAUAUGCGCAGGGUUCCCAAGCCCACCAUUUGGGUGCCACUAGGUACACCGUGCCACUGCCUACCACAUCAUAGCCCACCACUAAGGUCAGCACUAUGCACGACCUCCAGCAUGACUAUAAACACCAGAAACUACUUGCAACUCCUGGACCGAGUACUAGGUGAUUAAUAAGCCGAGAGGGUCAAUUAAGUAUCCCAACGUGUGUAGUAUCUAGUCUUGGAUUACACACACAGAACUCAGUUCCUAAUGACGGUUCCAAUGAAACAACCCGCCAUGUACUCCUACAUAGCAUUUCAUCGUUACCUUUACCAAAUCAGGUUCGACACUUAUCCUUUGUCACUAGAACACAUUCAUCCAUUCCAGUUCAUCACCCAGAUGAAACAGACCUUACACUACUCUAGGCAUAGCAAGCAUAGCAGGAAAUAACACAACAUGGCUCAAGCAACUACCAGGUAUGCUAUGUUGCAAGGUUUGGCUAUUUACUGUGACAAUGACAGGUCAUGCAAACGAAUAGGUUCAGCUACCGAAGUAAAACAUUUGAAAUAUUUUUUCCUAAUGCAAUAAGUGGGAGCAGGAGCAAGAACAUGGGAUUAUAUCGGGAUGAUCAAAACGGUGCUUGCCUUGUUGCUCAGCGGAGGGAUUAAAUCCGUCAGACGGAUAUUCAGACGUAUCCGGAAGGGCAGAGCCUACCGAAACAAUAACAACCAAUUAAUAACAAUCAUAUGCAACAGCAUGAUGCAUGAUCAUGGCAUGAAAUGAAUUGUAGCAUAAGUUAAUGUGGCUAUCAAACUUUUAAAAUCAUGCUGAUUUGAAUUCAAAUUCAAAUAUUACUUUAAGUAAUAUAUUCAUCAAAUUUAUUUAAUUGAUUUGACCUGAUGAUGUUUCAUAACUUUGUUUUUCAUGCAUGAAAGUGGCACCAUUGUGUUCAUUGAUUUUUCUGAUCAAUUUGCAUAUAUUAUUGUCAAAUUUGGAGAUAUAAUCAAUUUUCUAUGAUUUUCCAAAGUUUUGCACUUAUUCUGGAACUAAUAUAAAUCAGAAAUAUAGUUACUACAUCAGCAUGACAUCAGCAGCUCCAACUGGCCGUUGAAAGUCAAACUCGACCAGUGGUACCCACUAGUCAGUGACUGUGGCCAGAUUUUAAUUGAACUUUAACUUGAUUAGUUCAUUAACAGGGGUUGGCCCAGAUGUCAGUGUUGGUUUAGCAAUUAAAUUAACUAAUUAUUUUUAUUAGCUUAACUUUAAAUAGUCAGGGGCUGGUCCCACUUGCCAAUGACUCUGGGGAGUCAACCCACCGGCACUGGGGUCAAACCCACUGGCGACGAGCCGCCGGUGUCUCCACGGACGGCGGAGGGAUUUGGGAUUGUUCCUCCAGCGACCAAAGGACGGCGGAGGGUACCAGGGGAAUGACACUUCACCCACGGUUCCACUUUUGCAACUUACAGGGGGUGAAAUGGCCGGAGAUGACGCCGGCAAGGAGCUCGGCAGCUGCCGAAGCUCGGGCAUGAUCGGGAUCACUGCUACGGGGCUCAUCAUGCGCGGUACUAGGCUCCUACACCACCUACGCAAUCACUGAAGCUAACGGUGUCGUGGGCUCACGGGGAGUGUAGAGGCGUCGAAAGCGUGCUCGGGGACGACCUGGAGAGGGAGAACGACGGCGGCGAUCAACGCGGCCCGAGGAAGAAGACGACGGUGAUCCGGUGACUCAUGGGCUCUCGGCGUUGUACGACUUGCUGGGAAGCUUCAGGACAUCACUGCGGUUCUUCCACGCGGCUCGGAGGGGAAAGAGGGAGGCUGGAGCGGCUUGUCGACGGCGAGCUCAAGCCUUGGCCAUGGCGGACAAAGAGGGGGAAGCACAUGGGGCGAAUAGGGAGAGGGAGAGAGCUGGGAACGAGUGCGGGGAGGCUUAUCCCUCCAUGCCAGCGUGACGGGGAGCUCCAGGCAGGCACAACGGUGCGUGGCCGCACCAGAGGGAGCGGCGGCAACCUCCUGCUGCCGACUGGCGCGAGGAAGACGACAGGGGAGAGAAGCUGGGCUGGGCCUGAGCGACGGGUAAGGUUUUCCAUCUUUUUUUCAUUUCUAUUUCUGUUUUAAACUUUCUGGCAUUUGUUUCAUUUAAAUUUUGGCUCCAAACUAUUUCUAAGAUAGUGAAAAUAAUGUUGGGUGUUAUUUGGAAUAUUUCCAACCCCAUAUAAAAGAUUAAACAUUUUAUGAAUUUCUGAAAUAUUUGAAAUCAAAUAUAUAGUUGAUUUCAGUGGCUUUUGUGUUUAAAAUAAAAUACCAAAAGUAUUUUAUUAAAAAGAAAUCCACCCCUCAAUUGUUGUUUCCAAUAUUUAUCAAAAAUGAUAGACUUUUAUGAAGGCCAUUUUGGGAUCAUUGAUUUGUCACAGCUUUGAAUUGUUUUGAAUAUAGGGUUGCUAGAGUUUUUCUCUUUGAUUUCCAUUUUCACUUUUAAAUGCAAGAAUAAAAUAUGAGCAUAAACUUGCUAAGCAUCAAAGGUAGCUAGGGAUGUGAGAGGUCCUCGUCUCGGCAUGGGAGCUUGCCGGGGCCUUCGGUCGUCAUCUCGGCAAGGCAGGCUUGCCGAGGUCUUGUACUUGGUGAGUUCAUCACGCCCACCAAAUGGGCGUGGCCUUGGUUAUCUUCCCGGCAAGGCAGGCUUAUCAAGGCCUUGGUAAUCUUGGGGGUUGUAUCUUGUCUGGGUCCUGCCAUGCCCUGCCGGCAGGGGCUCUUUGCGCCCGUGCACAAGUCUGGGGCACUAGGGACCCCAAUCUUUAGUGUACCGACAAUAAAUGUCAUCACAAUAAUCAUCAUAGAUAGGAGGCAUGAUUUCAUCAUAAUAAAUUUUCUCAUCAAAACUUGGGGAACAAAAAAUAUCAUCUUCAUCAAACAUAGCAUCCCCAAGCUUGUGGUUUUGCAUAUCAUUAACAUCAUGGAUAUUCAUAGAAGUAUACACACAAUAUUUCUAUCAUGCUCAUCAUUCAAGGAUUUCACAUUAAGCAUUUUUAUAAAUUCCUCCUCUAAAAAUUGAGCACAAUUUUUUGAACCAUCAUUUUCACGAAAGACAUUGUAAAGGCGAAGCAAAUGAGGCAACCUAAACUCCAUUUUUUUCGUUUUACUUUAUAUAACCAAACUAGUGGAAAACAAGGUACUAAAAGAUUUAAUUGCAAGAUCUAAAAAUGUACCUUCAAGCACUCAACUCCCUAGCAAAGACACGAGAAUUUUUUUUGUCUACUGCACAAUUUUAUUUUUCUAGACUAUGUUGGGCCUCCAAGCGCAGAGUUUUGUAGGAUAGUAGAAAUUAUCUCAAGUGGAUGACCUAAGGUUUAUCAGUCCAUGGGAGGUGUAGGGUAAAGAUGGUCUCUCUCGAACAAAACUGCAAUCAAAUACAAGAAAUCACUUGUGUCCCCAACACACCCAAUACAAUGGCAAAUUGUAUAGGUGCACUAGUUUAGUGAAGAGAUGGUGAUACAAGUGCAAUAUGGAUAGUAGAUAUAGGUUUUUGUAAUAUGAAAAUAUAAAAAUAGCAAGGUAGCAAGUGUAAAACGGCACAAAACAUUGUAUAAAUGCUUGGUAAUAAGGCCUAGGAUUCAUACUUUCACUAGUGCUAUCUCUCAACAUUGCUAACAUAGUAGAAUCAUAUGAUCAUCCCUCAACGUGCAACAAAGAAUCAGUCCAAAGUUCCUAUCUAGCGGAGAACAAUAAGAUGAAAUCGGUGUAGGUAGUUGAACCACGACAAAGUUAUUCUUUCUGAUCAGUGAUUUGAGAUAUUUCUAUAAGUGUCACAAACAACCCUAGAGUUCAUACUAGAAUAACACCCAUGAUACAUAUCAAUCAACCCUAAUGUCACCUCAAGUAUUUGUGGGUAAAUUGUGUGACAUACAUAAAAAAAUUCAGAUCUCUCAUGUUCAAUCCAACAAAAAAACUUAAAGGAGCACCUCAAGAUUUCUAUCGGAGAACAUAGUAUGAAAACGUGCAAUCAACCACUAUGCAUAGAUCACCAAGGUCACCGGAAUGACAAGUUGAUGCCACAACAUAUAUCAACUGAAUCACUUGAAUAACCCAAUGCCACUAGGAGUAUAUGCAUGCAAUACAUACAUCAAGUGUUCUCAAACCAAAAUAUUCAAUCCAAUAUAAUGACAUCUUAAAAGGAAAGAUUCAAUUCAUCACAACAUGGUAGCAAGGGAAUAACAUCACAUGAUCCAACUAGAUUAACAAGGACCGUGAUACAUAAAAAUCAUGCCAUCUCAAUAACACGAGAGAGAGAGAGAGAGAUGGAACACAUAGCUACUGGUACAUACCCCCAUCUCCGAGGUUGAACUACUCCCUCCUCGUCAUGGCCUCCGCCAUGACGACGAAGAUGGCCACCAUAGAUAAUUUCCCCUCUCCGACAGGGUACUAUAAAAGCUCUAGAUGGGUUUUUAUCAAUACAGAGAGUUGCGGCAGCGGAGUAGAAGUUCUCUCUUUAUUUCUGGUUUUUCUGGUAUAUAUAAGAUUUUUCAGCGUUGGAACCACGCCAAAAAAAUCCAUGUGUUCCCCACAAGCCAUGAGGGCCAGGCCUAGGGGGUGCUCUCUUGGCUUGUGGCCCACAAGUGGCUCCGCUCCGGUGGUUCGUCACUCCAAUAUUGCGUAUUUCCUCUACAAAAAAUAUAUAUAAGUUUGGGCAAUUCCGAGAACUUCCAUUUUGUACACAAAAACAACACCAUGGUAAUUCUGCUGAAAGCAACGUCAGUCCAGGUUAGUUCUAAAUAAAUCAUAUAAAGUGCAUCAAAACCACAGAAAAUUAUUGUAAACAUAGGCAAACAUAGCAUGAAUACUUCAUAAAUUAUCGAUACAUUAGAGAUGUAUUAACCGCCUAGGCUAACAUAAAGCAUGUUUGCGGCACAUUGCCAUCAUUGUGCCCCCCUUUUACGUGCCUGGCUCAUAUCGAUCCAAUAUCGAGCACGGCAAAUUUCCUCACCCAUCUGAGACCAUAUUGUGCUGAUGGCGCCGGUUAGCAAGAAAGCGAAGGCCGCGACGCCAGCCACAUACCCUCCCGACGCCGGGCCGGCUCUCUAGCAUUCCUCCGUCACCAAGAGCGAGGAAUUGGGCCCGAUGCUCCUGAUGGUUGUCACGACCAGAACGAGUGGCAGGCGAUGAGGAUCUCGCUAGGCUUGGUGACAAAGAGCAGCCUAGGAGAGUCCACAUACCCCUUCUUCCUCCACAACAUUUACGCUGGGUUGGUUCCACCAUUUUUCAAGUUUUUCUAUGCUAUCCUCUCCCACUAUGGUAUCGAGGCCUUCACCUUCAUCCCAACUCCAUCCUCGUCCUUGCCAUCUUCACCUUUUACUGCGAGGCUUUCUUGGGGGUGAGGCCCUCAGUGGCGCUGCCACUUCUUUAGCCCACGGUUCACCUCCCCAGACCGGCGUUUUGUGUAUGUCUCCUUUGUCGACAUCAAGUGGAAGACCAUCCUCAUGAAGGCCGGGAAAAAGUAAAGGGCUACCGGCAGUGUUGGGUCUUCGUGGAUGCAGACCAUGUCAACCCUUUCCUGGCUGACCCCAUGGCCGUGCCGAGUAAGACCAUCGGGUGGAUCCAUGAGAAGCUCACCGAUCGGAGAGCCACACCAGUCCUGGAGCAAAUCGCCACCCACGGGGACACCCUACUAACAUGGGCAAUGAUCGUCAAGGAAUUCCCGGGGCAUCACAUCACCCCUCUCCAGGCGCUUUUGCAACCUGUGUGGGACUACACCGGUGAGGAGGAUGUGAUGAGGCUUCACGCCGCUAACCUGACACGCGGCAAGAUGAGCGGGGCCCUGUCGGCCCUCCUCAACCUCGACCCAGAAGAUCCUGCCAAGGCUACGCCCCCGCUAUAUUACCAAGAUAACAAGGCUGAGCUUGUCGUCGACGUGCCCACCUUCAAUGAAUGGGUCUCGGGCCAAGUAGCCUCGCUGGGCCGCUAGACAGUGCCCCCAUCAUGGUGAUGUUCUAUAGCAACGAGGGAAGCAAUGAGGAAAUCUAAAGUGAUGGAGGAUGAGGAGGAAGAGGAGUAUUUCGGCCGCACGCCACCGUCGAACCUUCGCAAGUCCCUGUUGGACCUUGUACAGGACAGUGACGGCUCGGUCAGGCUGCCCCGAACGACGCCUCGAAUGCUCGGUGGCGCAAUGGGAGGAGCGGUGCCCACCGUCGUGGCCGACCAAACGCUGGCAGCCGAGGGCCACAUCGGUGUGGUCGGGACUAUUCCCGUGGCGGACACGCCCCCUUAGGGGUCUCCCCCAAGCUGUCAGGGAGGGGAGAGACUAGGCCAGAUGCGUCAUGGAGCACACCAAGCAUUCUCAUAGCGGCACCAAGGUGGCGCACGAGAGCAUUGGCGCUACACUAUCCACAGCCGAGAGGAAGAGGAAGUGGGACACCAAAGACGAGUAAGUGCCCUAGCCCGCUCUUCUACGUAUCUAAGAUUUCUCUACCGAUGCUAACCUCGUGACUUCGCAGGCACCAAUACAACAUUCAGGAUAAGAGGAAGAAAGGGAUCACCGGUGCGAAGGCGACCCCCAUCCCGAGGUCUGCACCGACACCUGGACACGACACCGGCGGGGAUGGGGGCAACCCGCACCGGUCCAGAUGCUCAGGCACGUGGGUGCCGCUUCAACCGAAGACUCUAGUGCUUUAGAAGUGCCUAGAGCCUCCCCCAUGCGACGAGGGGAAGCGAUUGCUGAGAUCACAAUGACCCAGACCCUACACCACCUGCCAAGGCUGCGGUGCCCCUACCCUCGGAGGAGGGGGUAGCAGCCGAGCUUCCGCAGGUUAUCACCACCCCCGCUGAUGGGCACGGUACGGAUUGUGCCCAGGGGCCGCCUCAAGCAGCACGUGCUUCCGGGUCCCAAGGGGCCCUCACGGAAAUUUCUUCAUAUGUGUUGCAUGAAUUGGGUGCGAAGGUGGGGCCGCAAGGCCCCGCUCCACAGGGAGAGGAUGUCGUGGCCUCUUUGGUGGUGGUGCCAACGAGCGCAGAGAUGCCUCCCCUGCUCGGUUCUUGACCUCGAGAGCGGCAGCGCCUCGCUCAAGCAUGGGGCCUUGACCAAUGUUUGAGCCGCGCUCGAUCGGCUCGAGGAGGACUUCCGAGACAUGGAGGCGUGCCUUGACGAGGAGGGCAUGAAGAUUGCCACCGGAUAGCGCCUACUCAACGCUGAUGCGGAAGAGGCCUAGAGUCGGGCCUAUGCAGCCAUCACGGAGAGCAAGCAGGAGGCCACUGAGGCAAGGCGGCUCGCAAGAGCGUGUUUGCCGUGCCAAGCACGUUCGCCCAGCGCCGAGAGGAGGCAGAGGGAAACUUGAAGGCGCUCCAAGAUGAACAAGCCGCACGCGCGCGAUAGCUCCACCUGUUGGACGAUGACCUCAAGGCCCGGGAGGCGCAGCUCGUAGCUCGCGACUCAUAGCACGAAAAGUUAGCGGUCGAACUUGUUGGUUUCUGAUCCAUAGAUCAAAACACUGAGCUACCCGUACGUAGGUACGUGCAAGCAAGCUAUCUUUCUAAGCUAAUAAGCAGGCAUGUGGAUGUAUUUCCACUGUACGCGCAACCUCCCCGUACGUAUUCGGCGACGGUCGACGGAACUCGCAAACUAAAUUGAUGGAUAGACUUUUUGUUGAUUGCCGCAGGGGUGUGUCGCUCCUGAGCUUUUUUAAUGCUUUGCUCGUUUCUGAUCUGGUGUUACAAUCAACACCCCUUGGGUGCCUUUUAUACACGUCCACAAGGGACUAUGGAAACAGACUAGGACUAGGUAUCCUAAUACUACUAGGAUAAGGCUUGGCUUUCUUUCCUAAUCCAACGUGUACAGGACAACGUGAUUAACUCACAUUCACCCCUUCAUCACGAUGUCCUUACUUUCGACCUGGGUCCCAAAAACGAUUGCUGCUUCACAAAACUGUUAUCAUCGGCAUGGCCUUUGCCGUCCCUUGCAGCAUUUCUUGGACCGUCUAUACUGUCGUCGGCUCGUCCGUAGCUUGAUGACAACACUCAUUUUUGGUCGUGUAUUCAAUCAUCACCUCUUCUUUGGUGCUUUGUAAACUGUCCUUCAUAUCAUCGAGGCCACAUCUUUUGAACCUGAGUGUGACCAUACUUUGGUCUAACUUUGAAUUCCAAGCUCUUGGCGCUUGCAUCAGCCCGUAAAGUGCCUUCUUGAGCUUGUCAACUUCCGCUUGUUCGUCUUACUUCUCGUAGCUGAGGUGUUGUUCUACGUACACUUCUUCUGUGAGAUCGCCAUUGAGGAAAGCGGAUUUAACAUCCAUAUGAUGAACCUUCCAAUCCUCUUGUGAUGCCCAAGCUAGGAGCACUCUCACUGUCUCGAGUCGAGCAACUGGUGCAAACACCUCAUCAUAGUCAACUCCUUGACGUUGUACGUAGCCCUUUGCAACGAGUCUUGCUUUGUACUUCACAGUGGCACCAUCCUUGUCCUUCUUUAACUUGUAAACCCACUUCAAACCAAUCGCCUUUUGGUUCGGAGGUCGGGUUACCAAAGUCCAUGUGCCAUUGCUCUCAAUCGCCUUCAUCUCCUCAUCCAUGGCAUGCGUCCAGCGAGGAAUUUUGCUUGCCUCUACGAAGUUCGCCGGCUCCUCAACUCCAAACAGACAUAGUCCGGAGUACUCGAGCGUAACUGGCUUCGUGUACUUGUAUACUUUCUUGAGGGUCUUGUAGCGAUGAGGCCCUGAGGAGUCCGUUGUGGCUUGUGAAGGAGGCAACACAAAUUGUGUCGGUGUUGAUGCACUUGAGGAAGACGGCUGAGACCCGGGCAUAUCAUCGACAUCCGCGUCAUCAGCGUAGUCGUCGUGAUCGUGACCAUCAUCUUGAUUGUCGUCGUCACUAUGCGCCUCGUUGUCGAUGUUGUCGUCGAUAUCUCCGCCCGUAUCGUGCGCUUCGUUGUCGCUAUCUCCUUGCGAUCUAUGCACGCCGUCGUCGGUGUCGGCACCAUGAUGAUCACUACCAUUGUGGUCACUUUGGUUGGGCGUCUUACCAACCACAUGGACAUCCUCCCCUCCAUCAUCAUCAGUUGGAAAUUCAACCGUGAAGAUGUUACUAUUUGGAGCAUCGUCGGCUAUGGCUCUCCAAUUCCACUCUUGGUAAUCUUCAAACACGAUGUCGCGUGAAAUUCGUAGACGCUUGGUUUGUGUAUCGUAUAAGAGGUAUGCCUUGGUGCCGGAACUCCUCUCGUAUUCGAUAAACACCAUCUUGGUGCUACGAUUGUCAAGCUUUGAGGGAUGCGGCUCCGGCGUCUUCACAUGUGCCACACACCCGAACGUCCUUAGAUGAGAUACAUUCGGCUUACAUCCAUAAAUUGCUUCAUACGGAGUCUUGCCGAUCACCGCCUUCGUUGGAGCCCAGUUGAGAAGAUAGACUGCCGUCGAGACACCUUCUCCCCAAAAGGUCCCCGACAGGUUCUUGUUCUUGAGUAAACUCCUUGCCAUGUCAACAACGGUUUGAUUGCGCCUUUCAGCGACCCCGUUCUGCUGCGGCGUGUAAGGUGUCGUGAGGAACCUCUUUAUGCCAAUCUUCUCGCAGUAGUCGUUGAACUCAUUCGACGUAAACUCUCCGCCGCGAUUUGUCCGUAGAGCGCGAACCUUCAACUUCUUUCCGUCUCCGUUGCAGCCUUUAGCUUCUUGAACGCUUCAAAAGCCUCAUCUUUAGAUCGUAGGAGAAUGACCCACAUAUAUCUUGAGUAGUCGUCUACCACAAGGAAGAAAUACUUCUUUCCCGCGUGAGUUGCCGGGGUGAUAGGGCCACAUAGAUCACCAUGGUGCAGCUCGAGUGCAUCACUUGCACAGUAGGUAGACCGAGCAGGGAACGGCCUGCGGUGCUGUUUUCCAACCAAGCACCCGUCACAUACUGGAUCAACAUGGUCGAUAACUGGCAUCCCGGAUACAAUCUCCAUCUUUGACAUCUUCUUCAAGGCGUAGAAUUUAACAUGUCCAAAUCUAGUAUGCCAUAACCAUGAAUCAUCAUCACUCUUGGUGAGCCAACACUCCGGUUGAGAUUGAUCAAGGUUGAGGAUAUAGAGCCGGUUUCGUGUGCGAGUAACACGAGCUAGCACAUUUCGAAGGUUGUCGAAGAUCGUCAUCACUCCGUUCUCGAUACCCACCUUGCAUCCAUUCUCGUCAAGCUUCCCAAUAGAGAUGAUGUUGUUGCAAAGUCGUGGGGUGUAGUACACUCCGUUGAGUAUGCGAUGUUCGCCUGUGAAACCCUCGAAAGGGACAGAUCCUUGCCCACAAAUCUCCACAUUUGAACCAUCACCAAACUUGACCGAUCCUUCAACAUCAUAUUCCAGCUCGAGAAAUUUCUCCUUGCAUCCCGUCAUGUGGUUAGUGGCACCCGUGUCGAGAUACCACCACACGUUGUGAUCCCCGGAUAACUUAGGUGUCACAUUCUUCUCAUGAAGUAGCACCUUCCGGCUUGGUUUCACAACCACUGUUUCAGCAAGAUCACAAACUUUGGCCAUCAGAAGACCUGGACCUUCGUCUUCCUGCUUUGCCAAAUUUCCCUUGAUCUCCCGCUUGUCAGGCUCCGGAAAAUCCUUUGCAAAGUGACCCAUCUCGUUGCAGUUACAGCACUUGACCUCGGACAUAUCGAAGUUCCGUUGCUUCCUCCCUUUAGAUCGAUCUGCCUUACCGUGACCUUGUGGCUUGCCUUUUCCUUUGCCUUCUCCGGUUUAUCCGCCGUGCGUUCCGUUGCUUGAGGCUUCGUUGCCAUCAUGCCUUCCUUUGCUACUUGGGGACUCCCAAUCUGCGCGCGAGUACAUGAGUUUGUCACUACCUCCUCUGUUGCCUUUCCAACAGUCAUGAGCAUUCUCUUCCCAUGUACGCAAGCGUUCGAUCGCCUCCGUUAUGGUCAUGUCGUCGAUGUCGUAAAGCUGCUCGAGUGUGCCGAUGAUGUACGUGAAUUUCUCAGUCACCGAACUGAAAAAUUUCUCCACAAUCUCGUUCUCCUCGAGCUUUGCACCAAGCGCGCGGGUCUCUCCCACCAAAGUAGUAAGAUGCAUGACAUAGUCGUUCACCGAUUCAGUUUCCUCCAUCUGCAACUUGUGAAAUUGGCGCAUCAGCACUUGUGCCCGAGCCUUGGUGACGCGAUAUUCUUCGAUCCUCAUCUCCUUGAGUGUGUUCCACGCCUCUCUUGCCGUCUCGAACUCCGCCAAUGUCAUCAGCACGGAAUCCGGCACGGACUAGGCUAUGGCGGCCAUGGCACCUUUGUCGGACUCGUCAUCGACGUCGUCGUCCAUGAUUGCCUGCCACACGCGGAGGGUUCGGAGAAUAAUCUUCAUCUUCACCGCCCACAUGCCAUAGUUGGUGUCGGUGAGCAUCGGGUACUGGAUGGGAAUGUCGCGAUGCGCCUGGACGUUGGCGCCACUCGUUCCCCCACCACUGGUCGCUGACUUGUCGCCCUUCUUCACCUUGUCGCUGUUCUUGUUUCCCUUGGGACCGCCUUUGCCGGACUUGACCGACUCAGCGUCGCCGUCUGUCAUCGUAGAUCGUAGAACGUCGAGGCUCUGAUACCAAUUAUUGGUUUCUGAUCCGUAGAUCAAAACACUGAGCCACCCGUACGUAGGUACGUGCAAGCUAGCUAUCUUUCUAAGCUAACAAGGAGGCAUGUGGAUGGAUUUCCACUGUACGCACAGCCUCCCCGUACGUAUUCGGCGACGGUCGACGGAACUCGCAAACUAAAUCAAUGGAUAGACUUUUCGUUGAUUGCCGCAGGGGCGUGUCGCUCCUGAGAUUUUUUAUUGCUUUGCUCAUUUCUGAUCUGGUGUUACAAUCAAUACCCCUAGGGUGACUUUUAUACACGUCCACAAGGGACUAUGGAAAUAGACUAGGACUAGGUAUCCUAAUACUACUAGGAUUCGGUUUGGCUUUCUUUCCUAAUCCUACGUGUACAGGACAACGUGAUUAAGUCACAGAGCUGGUUGCUGAGCGCAGGCGCCUGGAGGCGCUGCACCACGAUAUAGCCGACGCCCAAGAAGCUCAUGCCAAGCAUGUCUCCGAGGUCAAUGCCAAGGUGGAUGCCUGGGCCAAGGAGAUUCAGGAAGAGGCCGACGCGAAGGGGGUGGCGUCCCACGCCAUUUUCUCUUCCCUCAAGCUUAGGGCUCGUGUGGCCUUGAGCUCCAUAUGCCGAGAGCCUCCCGAAACCCUCCUGACAGCACCCAUCGCCAGCUAUGUCGAGAUUUCAUCCAAGCUUAUGGAGGAGCUCGAGGUCGCAGCACUGAAGGUAGAUGGCAUCCUAGAGGACGAAUUCUCAGGCCUCUUCUUUGUGGCAGCUACUCACGUCUUCAGCUACCUCCGUCUACACGAGCCUGACUUCAACCUUGAUGAGGUAAUAUGUCCUAUCCCUGAAGAGUAUCAUGAAGACUUAGCGAAGGCUGUGGAAAGCCACAUAGAGGUACUUCUUGGGAGGUUCUCUGCAGAAGCAAAGACAAAAGUCGCGACGACCCUUCAUCUUGAAGCUCCCCUUUGUCAUCUUACAAUAGACGGAUCCUGCCUCGCAAGGGCGUAAGACAACUGUUUUAAUUUGUGGAACCUUUAAAGCUUGUAAUAAAUGUCCUGAUAUAUGAGUUUCCUUUUCGCGCUUGGACUUUCCUGUACUUGCCUUCGCACUCCAUGCCGGCUGGGCCCAACUUCGUGCCCACUCCAGCCGCGGGAGCACACUUCGUAACGUCAGUAGUUUGCCAUUCUCGGGGUGCACCCCGUACAACCCCUCAGGCGGUCUACCCUGAAGGGGAGUUCCGCACGCGUGAGAUCCAUCUUGGCCGUGGAGCUUGAUGACCCACGAGUAUUGGGGAUCGAUCUUAGCCCUUUCGAGAAGUAAGAGUGUCGAUCCCAACGAGCAGCAGAAGGAAAUGACAUGCGGUUUUCAGCAAGGUAAUUUCUGCAAGCACUAAAAUAGCGGUAACAAGUCGUUUGAUAGCUAUAUAAUUGUAACAUGUGACGAGUAGCAAUAGUAGCAAUAGUUGCAGCAAGGUAGCCCAAUCCUUUGUGGCAAAGAACAGGACUGAAAAGUUUCUUAUAAUAGGCAAAGCGUUCUUGAGGGCACGCGGGAAUUUCAUCUAGUCACUUUUGUCAUGUCGGGUUAAUUCACGUUCGGUACUUUGAUAAUUUUAUAUGUGGGUGGACCGGUGUGUGGGUGUUGUUCUUACUUGAACAAGCCUCCAACUUAUAAUUAACCCUCUCGAAGAACUUGUCUUUGGAGGAGCUUGAUGAAGCCAUGGUGAUCUAGAUCUGUCAGAAAAAUAGCACGAAACAAGAACAGAGGAUUUCUCCAUGGUACUGGGGUCAAAUCAUCGUGAGAUAUAUACAAAUAAUUUUUAUACAAGGAAAUAUGUGUCCCACAAGAAAACGGAGCCAGGAAGGUGCCCGAGGGGGCCACUAGCCACCAGGCCGUGCUAGGGGGCUAGCGCGCCCUGGUGCCUAGUUGGCACCUGGGUUGCCUUCCCGUCUGUUUAUAAAUUUCCUAUUUUUUCUAAAAUUCCAAAACUGAGAGAAAAUACAUUUGCGGAUUUUUCUGAGUCCGUUUACUUACCAUACUCCAUACCUCUUACUUUUAAGGGUUCUGGAGUGUUCUAGAAGUUCUCCUUAAUGUGCUCCUCCAGUGUCAUGGUUUGGAUAAUAUUUGUUUCAACAUUAAGUGGUGUACCAGAAAUAUCGUGCUUUAUUCUUUGUCUAUUGACCACCUUUGGGUUAGUUCCUUCGGUAUUACUGAUCUUAAUAGCUCUAGACUGAUAAAAAAUUUCGAUGAUAUAUGGUCCUUCCAAUUUGGAGAGAAGUUUUCCUGCAAAAAAAUCUAAGACGAGAAUUGUACAAUAAAACAUAUUAACCAACUUUGAAUUCUCGCUUUUGGAUUCUUUUUUCAUGCCACCUUUUAACUUUUUCUUUGAAUAGUUUGGCAUCUUGAUAGGCUUGGGUUCUCCAUUCAUCUAAUGAGCUAAUAUCAAAUAACCUCUUUUCACCAGCAAGUUUGAAAUCAUAGUGGAGUUCUUUAAUUGCCCAAUAAGCUUUAUGUUCUAACUCAAGAGGUAAAUGACAUGCUUUCCCAUAAACCAUUUUAUAAGGAGACACACCCAUAGGAUUUUUAUGAGUUGUUUUGUAGGCCCACAAUGCAUCAUUUAAUUUCUUUUGCAAUAUUAAUUUUAUUUCUCUAUUGAUUUAUUCUACUUGAUCACUAGAUUCAGGAUGAUAGGGUGAUGCAAUUCUUUGGUUAACAUCAUAUCUAGCAAGCAACUUACAAAAAGCACCAUGAAUAAAAUGUGAACCACCAUGAGUCAUUAAGUAUCUAGUGACUCCAAAACGUGGGAAAAUUACUUACGUAAGCAUUUUAAUAGAGAUGUUAUGAUCAACACUAUUGGUUGGAAUAGCUUCUACCCAUUUAGUGACAUAAUCAACAACAACCAAAAUGUGUGAAUGCCCAUUAGAAAAAGGAAAAGGUCCCAUAUAAUCAAAUCCCUGAACAUCAAAUGGUUCAAUAACAAGUGAAUAAUUCAUAGUCAAUUCCCUACAUCUACUAGUAUUACAAAUUCUUUGACAUUCGUCACAAUAGAGGACAAACUUACGAGCAGCUUUGAAAAGAGUAGGCCAAUAAAAGCCAUACUAAAGUACAUUGCGUGCAGUUCUAUCUCCCGCAUGGUGUCCUCCAUAAGCCUCGGAGUGACAGUUCUGAAGGAUUUGUCCCUGUUCAUGCUCACGUAUACAACGUCUAAUAAUACCAUCUACUCCCUCUUUAUAAAUAUGUGGGUCAUCCCAAAAGUAAUGUCUCAAAUCAAAGAAGAAUUAUUUUUCUUUUGCUGAUAGGUGAAACUAGGUGGUAUAUAUUUAGCAAUAGUGUAAUUAGCAUAAUUAGCAAACCACAAUGUGUUAUGAAAAACAUUGACCAUAGCUAGUUGUUCAUUAUGAAAACUCUCAUCAAUAGGUAGUGAGUCAUGAAGAACAUUUUCUAACCUAGACAAGUUAUCGGCUACGGGGUUCUCAGCUCCUUUCCUAUCAAUGAUAUGCAAAUCAAAUUCUUGUAGAAAAAGAACCCACCUAAUAAGUCUAGGCUUAGCAUGUUUCAUUUCCAUAAGAUAUUUAAUAGGAGGAUGAUCAGUGUGAACAAUUACUUUAGAAUCAACUACAUAAGAUCUAAAUUUAUCACAAGCAAAUACAACUGCUAAGAAUUCCUUUUUAGUGGUAGCGUAAUUUCUCUUGGAAUUGUCUAGAGUUUUACUAGCAUAAUGGAUACCAUUUAAUUUCUUAGAAGCUCAUUGUCCUAGAACAACACCAACAACAUAAUCGCUAGCAUCACACUUAAUUUCAAAAGGCAAGUUCCAAUCAGGUGAUUGAACAAUAGGUGCAGAAGUUAAGGCUUACUUAAAUGUUUCAAAGGCUUAUACACAAUCAUCAUCAAAAACGAAAGGAACAUACUUUUGUAAUAAAUUAGUAAGAAGCCUAGAAAUUUUAGAAAAGUCUUUAAUAAACCUCCCAUAGAAAUGGCAUGACUAAUGAAACUAUGGAUAGCUUAACUAUCUUUAGGACAUGUCAUCUUCUCAAUUGCAUCAACUUUAGCCUUAUCCACCUCAAUACAUCAUUCGUAAAUUUUAUGACCCAAUACAAUACCUUCAUUUACAAUAAAGUGUCACUUCUCCCAAUUAAAGACAAGGUUAGCCUUCUCUCAUGUCUGCAAAACACGAUCAAGGUUCCUUAAGUAGUCAUUAAAAGAAGUACCAUAAACAGAAAAAUCAUCCAUAAAAACCUCAACAAUCUUUUCACAAAAAUCAGAGAAUAUAGGAGUCCCACAUCUUUGAAAGGUAGUAGGUGCAUUGCAUAAUCCAAAAGGCAUACAUCUAUAAGCAUAGGUUCCAAAAGUACAAGUAAAGGUGCUUUUAUCUUCAUUACGUUGUGACACACGUAUUUGAGAGAAACUAUAAUAACCAUCUAGAAAGCAAAAACGUGUGUGCUUUGAUAAUCUUUCUACCAUUUGGUCUAUGAGAGGUAAAGGAUAAUGAUCUUUUCUAGUAGGUUUGUUUAAUUUUCUAAAAUCAAUUACCAUUCUAUGGCCGAUCACAAUUCUUUGUGGAAUGAGUUCAUUUUUAUCAUUAGGAACAACAAUAAUACCUCCUUCCUUUGGAACACAAUGAACGAGACUUUCCCAUCUAGUAUCAGCUUUGGGAUAAAUUAUACCUCUUCCAGAAGCUUUAACAUUUCAUUUCUUACCACUUCUUUCAUUUUGGGAUUCAGGCUUCGUUGGUGAUCAAUAACGGGUUUAGCAUGUAAUUCCAUAUUAAUCUUGUGGUUACGUAGAGUGUGACUAAUGCCCAUAAGAUCGUCAAGAGUAUACCCAAUAGCAGCUUCUCUCUUCCUUCAAAAUUUUAACAAUAUUUCUUCUUCAUCCUCUGUAAGGUUAGCAUUGAUAGUAACAUGAUAUAUCUUCUUUUCAUCAAGAUAAGCACAUUUCAAAGUGUUAGGUAAUUGCUUUAAUUGAAACACAGGAUCACGCUUGGGUGGAGGAGGACCUCCGAGAGUUUCAACAAGCAAGUUGUGUUUAAGGAUAGGCUUUUUCUCAAAGAACAUAUUAUCUAGUUCACUCACUUCACGCAUAUGCAUAUCAUUUUCAUGGUCUAGCAACUAUCAUUGUAAUGGUUCAGUAGGAGGAAUGGCAAUAGAAGCAAGACCAAUUACUUCAUCUUUACGAGGUAAUUCUUUAUCAUGGAAAAAGUAACUACUCACAACUGAUAAUCAUGCUACAUGGCAACUCCCACCUCCCACCUCCUACACCGGCGACUCCAUGGCGAUCUGGAUUUCUAGCCGGCGUGCAUCUCUCUCCCCGCUCAUCAUCUCAGGUGAACUCCCAUGUUCCUCUACGUGUUAUCUAUCAUGGCCUGCAUGGGUGGCUCCACGCUAGAUCUGGAUUUUCACCUGGUGCGGCUUUUGCGGAUGAUGUGUUCUAUCGCUCUUGUUUAUCUGUGCACCCGAUGGAUCAUCGUCGACCUUCCAUCAUGGUGGUCUCUUUUAGUCGACACGUUUUCCGUUUAUCUAAGGAUUCUCCAGCUGCAGCACUUGAGGCUACCAUUGGGGGUUCGGCCAUUGAUCUUAUGGUCACACAAGUCACAGACUCGGUUUUCUCGUUCAGGGUUUCUUGCAAGCAAGUUGGUUUUCAUAUUCUCGCCUUGCGAUCUUAUAAAUGCUCCAGUUUUAAAUGUUUCUUUCAUCUCUAGGGCAAUGGUGGUCCGAAUUGGCAUCGUGAAUUUACCCUAUGGAGAAAACAGUGUGAUGUUGAAUGGAUUUUAGUUAGCCCAUCUAAGAGGAGGGCGGCAUGAGGUGUGAUGGCAAUGCAUUCCAGCCAUCUCAAGUGCUCUUUUAAAUCUGGAUCAUCUACACGCAAGAAACUAUCUUUGGAGCUCUCCAACAAUAUGGGGUUUGCAAUGGUUACAGGUGUCCUGUCACCUAAGAUGAAGUUACUACACUUCAGAAUGCUGGCUAUUCUAUUCCUCAGCAAGAGCGCGUUAUUAUCAGUGCACCACCGCCGGCUGAACUUUGGCGGACGAUGACGACACCUCACAUUACUUUCGGACGGCUUCACAACCGGUGUCACCUUCCGCUUUGUCCGGCAUUCAAAAUCAUUUUAGCGGAAUGAACGGGAUUUCUCCCUCUCUUGGUGCAGAUACUGUUCCUCCCUCCCCUUCGGGCGGGAUUUCUGGUUCUUUCAAACUGGCGCCAUCCGAUAGAUUAGUCAGUGGGACUUCCUAUGAUCAGUUCCCAACUCAUGGGACGGCAGUAGGUUCAUCUUCAAAUGGGCCGGAUAUUCCGUCCUUGCAAGAGGCCCGUCAGCUCUUCGCUGAUUUAAUUCAUGGCAUGUUUCAGGAGAUAUUUUCUUGCACAAUCUGUUUGAAUCGUGGGCAUCUAGCUCCCAACUGCACGACUUCGCCGAUAUGCUCUUCCUGCGGCAGGGCGGGCCAUACAAAAUCUAAUUGUGCUUCUUUUAUGCGUGAUAAUUGUCUUAUUUGGAAACGUAAGAGCCCCACCACCUCCCCUGACGCCGAUUUCUCGGGAACUUCUGCUGAUCUUGGGGAGACUGCGCAACCUGCCCGAUAGUUCUCCCCUGUCUCAUCGCACUCAUCAUCUCCCAGGACUCCAUCUGAGCCAUCGCCAUUGACACCACAUCCUCCAGUUACGCUCCCUGACAUGGCCAACUUCGAGCUCGACCAUGAGAGGUUUGUUCCUCCGGGCCAUCACAUCAUCGACGGUGGCCCCAACCGCCUGCCAAGGUCAUUCAUCACUCCAGCCAUACCCAUUGCCCACAAACAUGAACAAUUCAUCAUCGCGGAGGUUAUGCCUUCCAUGCCCCUCCGACCUUAUUGGUCAGGUACGACAUGAAGUUGUUGAUCUUCUGCACAAUCGGGGUUUCCAUGUUCGGUCUUGUAGUGCCCCAAGUGUAAACCUUCCAUAUUUGGAACCUAUUGCAUGUGGGUCCACCUUGUCAUGGAUAUGAUGAUGUCAUUUUGUGUCUAUGAUUUCAUGUGUCACCUUGUGUUCUUAUUCUCCUUUUGCGUGCAUGCAUCCAUGACAUACCAUCCUUGCCUUACCUUGUGAUGCAUGUGAUCUUGUUAGGAGUGAUGUCGUGGUCAUUGUGAUCUCCUGAGGUCGUGUUAUGAUUUCAUGUGGUUGUGAUGGUAGUACUAAGGGUAGUGGUGCUUGUCAUAUUUUCAAACCCCCUCUAUUUAUUUGCAAACCCCUUUCUCUCUUUUAAUCUCAUGUUAAAAAAUCCAUCUUCCCCAUAGCUGGUUUAAAAAUGUCUUGUGUUUGGAGUUAAUUGUGGAGAUGUUGGGGUGCCAGAUUUGGUGAUUUGUAGAGUGUCCUAAAGGUGCAAGAAAUCACAAAACAGAUAACACAAUUGCUGUUUUGUAAUUAUUUUAGUUGCUCCAAAAAUACCAUUUGUAUUUUAUUUAAAUAGGUUAUUUAUUUUGAUGACCAGGGCCAUUUUUAGUUUGAUUUUUUCCACCACAUAUAGCCAUGUGCUUAUUUUCUAUCCUUGUUUUAUUUUGUCAAAAGAAGAGGCAGGGUGGCCUUUCUUCUAUAUGGCGCCACCUGUGGGCUCUCUCCCACAGGCUGGCCCAUCCCACUCCUUCCCGCUCACGCCAGGAGCCCACCCCCGCUCCCCCUUCUCCCAUCUGACACCGUCCGCGACCUGCACCAUUCCGUCAGAAGCUGAGAGAGGGCGAGUUGCCGCCGUGUGCACCACGUCGAGGGGGCCCCCUUUAUAUUCGUUGGCGUCCGUGCCUCCCCCCUCCUCCUAGGGUUCCUCCUCUCCCCUUAUAUGCCGCCGCCACCUCUCUCCUUCCCCAUCUGUCUUCUCUGUCAGGUGAGUCUGUAGGUUCAGGCAGAGAGAGCAUAACUCCAUCGCCGCAGAUUGCCGUGCUUCCGUCGUCGUCCGCCGCCACCGCUAUGUCCGUGAGCACGGGAGAGCACCCCGCGUCCCAUUUGCAUCCUCGAAGAGGCCGGGGAGCGACCUCACCAGCGGCCAGCUCGACGUCAGCGCCUCGGUCCCGGUGCACUUCGUCACUGCUUCCGUCUACGGAAGGAUCUCCCUCGGCGCGUCUUCUUCCCCUCUGGUCCGGCUUCCUCCCCUUCAGAUCGGAGCCCCUCUUCCUUCCCUAGGUGAACUAUCGCUCCUCCUCCUUUCCCCUCGGUUGGAUCCGUCGGAGUGGUCGUCGUGCUCCUCUGUUCAGGGGAGAGAACGGCAGGUGCAUGCCAUGAUGAUGUGUGUAGUGUGUAGUGUGCUCGGUGUGAGUAGAUGUAGAGAAGAGACUCUCCUCGGAGAGUACGUGUGUCUUCCCCUUCCCUGCGGGCGUGGUAGAGGUUGUGGUAGAGGAUACCAUCUCCGGUGAUCUCUCUGUCACCGGCUCGCAGGUGCAGGCCAGUGAAUAGAAUCGUGGUAGUAUACCUUGUGUUAGAUCCCUACUCUGUCAGACAUCGAAGCGUAGCGUAGUGGUAGUAGUGCGUGUGCCUGAUGAGAAGGGCGUGGGUUCGAAUCCCCCCUUCGGCACCCUUUUAAUUGUUUUACAUUGCUCUGCACAGUAGAUAAACAGAGACAAGUUUCCUUGUCUAGGCAUCCCUCUCUAUCGAGCAAGCAGGCUGUAGCGCAGUGGUGUUGUGGUGUGCAGUGCACCAGGGGCAAAGGGGUUCGAAUCCCAGACUGCCCGACUUUCUUUUUCCCUUGUUUCUAUUUAUUUUCCCUUUGCUUUUGCUUGCUACACCUGUGCCUAAAACAAUAGAUGACAAUGGCAAUUAUGUUUUUCCCUUUGCUGCUAUAGAAGUGCCAGAUGAUGUGAUGCAUGUGUGUGUUCAUGUGAGAUGUGUAUGUGUGUGUGUGCAUACACAUGGUGUUAGCCACAUGUGUAUGUGUGUGGGUGUGAUGCCUCCCUUGUAGAUGAUGUAAGUGUAGGUGGCUUGUGUUCUUUUGCUUGUGUCUAGUUAGAUGGCAGUAGGUAUGUGCAUGUGUGUGUGAGUGUUGCACACACAUGAGGUGUUGCUAGUGUAUGUAUGCAUGUAUGUGUAGCUUUCAUAUCACUUUCUUGAUAGCUUUCCCUUAUGUUGUACUUGGGGUCUUAGAGCNNNNNNNNNNNNNNNNNNNNNNNNNNNNNNNNNNNNNNNNNNNNNNNNNNNNNNNNNNNNNNNNNNNNNNNNNNNNNNNNNNNNNNNNNNNNNNNNNNNNNNNNNNNNNNNNNNNNNNNNNNNNNNNNNNNNNNNNNNNNNNNNNNNNNNNNNNNNNNNNNNNNNNNNNNNNNNNNNNNNNNNNNNNNNNNNNNNNNNNNNNNNNNNNNNNNNNNNNNNNNNNNNNNNNNNNNNNNNNNNNNNNNNNNNNNNNNNNNNNNNNNNNNNNNNNNNNNNNNNNNNNNNNNNNNNNNNNNNNNNNNNNNNNNNNNNNNNNNNNNNNNNNNNNNNNNNNNNNNNNNNNNNNNNNNNNNNNNNNNNNNNNNNNNNNNNNNNNNNNNNNNNNNNNNNNNNNNNNNNNNNNNNNNNNNNNNNNNNNNNNAUGAGCAUAGAUAUGUGACAGUUGUUCUAGUGGGAGUUGCAUGAAAUGUUGCACUAUUCACUAUGUUGGAUUCUAUAUAGUUUUUCCUUCCUAGUUUGAGCUCACUUGCUCCAAGCAAGUGCAUGUGUUUUAUAUAUGGUUUUGGGGUAGAAAGAUCCCAGGAUUACAUUGGUGAAAUCAUUUUUACCAUUGGAACAUUUUCUGGAAAAGUCAUAUUUACAUUUUCUUCUAAGUUUAGAGCUUGGUUCCAUGGAUUAUGAUGUGCUCUUGUAUUUGUUUCUUGAUUGUGGUAGUAGAGGGUGACCGCCUCUACCACCUGUUGGUUUCAAUUCAUGAUUUGGAAUCCAUGUGUGCAAGUUGUGCCCAUCCAAAGUAGGCAUGUGACUGAAAUUCCAGAUUAGUGAAAAUCUGAGAUUUUCACUAAGUCUGAGAAUCUGUUUAUAUUUUCUUCUCCUGUAGAUGAGGUUGUGCUGGUCAUUGUGUUGUGAUCUAGCCCUAGCUUUCAACUAGGACGUUGGACCUGAUACGUUUGUCUAGAUCUCUGUAAAAUUUCCUGUCAUUUGGAGCCCUGUAGGUAUUGAUUUGGCUGCUGUCAAAAUGCUUCAGAGCAAAGACAGAAAGUUAGGUGUAGGAAUUUUCACAAAGUCCCUGUGAUCUGAUGGUUUUAGGAAAGUUUGCAGCGUUGUAUCUUCCUCUGUUUAAUUCCUUUUUGUGUGAUUCUUGCUUGCGCUGGUAGUAUUCUUGGCUAGCUACAACCACAUAUAUUAUUUGUCAUAGUUGGGUGGUUGUAGGUGCUUUGCAUGUAGCUCACAAAGUGCUAUGAUGCAGUUUAUGACAGAUUGUGUAGUUUUGUCAUUUUGAUGAUUGUGAUUGCUUAGUUGAUGUUGUGGUGUUCUUCUUUGCUCCACCCUAUCCAUGAUGGGUUGUUUUAUGUCUUGGCAACCUGGGAAUACCAGAUUUUAGCCAUUUGAGUGUGUGGUGAUGAUUUUGACACGUAGGGUGUCAUAUCUUGUUUCGUUGAUUCCCGUUGAUCCGUAGCUCCGAUUGUAUUGUUCUUUAUAUGGUUUUGCAUCAUUUUCACGAGACGCAUCUGAUCAUGUCAUUCUCAUGCAUGUAAAAAUAGGUUAGCAUGCAGUUCUGUCCAGGAACAUGUUUUAGCUUCUUUUGCUUGUGCUAGUGAUAGAAAUAGUGAUGCAAGCUCAUAUUCAUCUCAUGCAUCAUUUGCUUGUUGCAUCUUGAGGUGCUGUUGUUCAUUGAUGUUAUUCUUAUGUUGGGUAGCACCAGGAUCGGAGAACGAAUACGUGGAUUCAGGAGAGUAUGUGCAGGACGAACAAGAUCCAUUCCAAGCUGAGGAUAUCACAGGCAAGAUGAUAUGACCUUGAUUCCAUCUCUAGACUUGUUAUGCUAGUUUGCAUUUCCAUGUCAUAUUGCUUGCUGCCUACCACUGAAUUAAAUUGCCUCCUGAUAUGCCAUGAAACCAAACACCAUCCCUACCUAGCAAAACUUGAAUGGUUAAGUAGGCUUUGCUCAGCUACUAAUGUUAGCGUUGCUAGAUGCAGGUGCUUUGUCUCAUGUGACAACAUGAGCUUGAUAUCAUUAUCUUAAAUUCUGUUAUUUAAUUAAUGCACCUAUAUACUUGGUAAAUAACGGAAGGACUAGCCUUUUGCCGGGUGUUUUGUUCCGUUAUUGCCGCCAUAGUUACCGGCUACCGGUGUUUGAUUCCAUAUUGAUCGCUCCUAACACGUUCGGGGUUGUUAUGGGGACCCCCUCGAUAAAUCACGUAGUGCUAAGGCUUGUCCGGCAGGACCCAACAUUGGUGUUAAUUUGCUAAUCACUUAAUAAUAAUCUGCAUAGGGAAUAGCUAUCCCGAGGAAUUUAAUCAACAACCCGGACCAGUGCUCCUCAUGAGUGUUGGUCCAAACUAGAGUCAUGUGCGGGGCCAACCCGGGGAAUUCGGGAGAUGUCUAUCAGGCCACUGUACGCUGUGCUCAUCUGGCGUGUCCUGAGACUGAGAUACGCGGCUCUUAUCAGGGUCAUCGACACGUCGGGAGGUCCUGCUAGGCUUGCCUUACCUUAGCGAUAUAUCUUGCGUAUAGGAAUCCCAGUGAAGCUUUGGUUCUCCCCAGAGUUUAGGUUUUCCUCUAAGGAAUCCGACGAGAUCACGAGAUUCGUCAUAGAGGAUUACUUUGCGGCAUGUGUACGUUUGUGAUGGACUAGUUGGAGCACCCCUGCAGGGUUUAAUCUUUCGGAAAGCCGUGCCCGUGGUUAUGUGGCAACUUGGAAUAUUUUGUUAACAUCCGGUAAUAGAUAACUUAAACUUAAACUAUUAAAAUUGCCAACUGUGUGCGUGACCGUGACUGUCCCCUCGAAGAUCUCUCUUCGAUCGGGAAUAUGGUGGGGUUAUGACUGACGUAGGUAGGUGUUCAGGAUCACUUAGUGAUCAAGUAUUCACGACCGCUAGUAUGGACCACCUUCAUAAAUGUUCUACGUAAGUUCGCCACCAAGUCAAGCUUAGGAUGCUGCAACCUUAAACACUUCACCUUCUCCUACCUAAUAACUUGACUAGUUCUGGCACCAAGGUCUUAGAUUGCUGAGUCCCCGAGGCUCACGGAUUCCUCCACAAUACCAACAGGUUCAGGAACCACAGAGACAGAUGAUCCCGACAGCACGCAGCUGGCGUGGCAGUACGAUGAGGAGACAGACCGCUUGUACGUGAACUAUCCAGAAGAUUGAGGCGUGGUCGUGAUCGUGGGCCUGCACGCAGGGUAGCAUAGCCUUUCUCUGUUUUGUAGUAUGUAGCGGAACUACUUUGGUUGUAUGCGUGAUUUACUCUGAUAUAUUUAUGAGAAGGCCAUUGAACCCCUGAUUGUCUAUCUUUUAUUAUUAUGUAUGUGCUGUGUUACAUGUUUGCGAGACGCUUAGAUGCGCUCCUUUCCAAUUCGGGGCCUCGAUCCCCAGAUCGUAAAGGACCGCAUCUUGGUCGUUACAAGUUGGUAUCAGAUCCUUACGACCAUAGGAGCCUUUGUGUGAUCGUACUUGGCCGAGUCGAGUCUAGAAAAUGUUUUGAGUCUUAGUUAUAACGGAGGGUAGGAUUCUUUUUUCUCCUCUUCUAUGCUGUGGUGAGGUUCCCGCCUUAGGAAAUCUUUAACUCUACUUCUUUUCUCGCUCAAAAUUUUUUUAGGAUCACGCGGGUAUUUGUGAAAUCUAUAUGAUUUCGAUAUGACAGAGUCCUGUCCUGGUGCCUCCUAUCUGCUUUAAGUUUCAGGGGAGUUGAGCUACAGGGGAUUCUUGCGCACAUCGCCAUCAUUCAGAUUUCUGAGUAUCUAAGAACGAAGGAUGUUCGUUAUUGCUUCAAUACUGGAAGUGGUGAGAUAAACUCGAUGUCCCCAAUACUGGUGCAAAUUGUUCGGGGGUACUACCACACUUGGUAUCGUUGUGAUCACGAGGAUCUGUUGUAGAUGAAGGUCCGAGAUGCUGGUUGUGUGUUGAAGGAUGUGAGACAGGUGACGGGUCAGUUUAGGAGUUGUCUGAAAUACUCCUUGUAUCCGUGUACCAGAUUGCAUGACCAGUUAUUUCGGGAAUUCAUAGGUGGGAUAUCAAGUAGUAUCUUAUAGGACUAUCUUCCUACAGACGCAUGAUUGAGGUUGGGGAAAUCUCGAUCGUAUGUUUGUUCCCAGCAAUUCUAGCUCACACUUGUUUGCAGUGGUCCUUAUCGGAAUUUUUUUCGUCCGUCACUUUGAGGAUGCAUUCUUGCUAUGUUGUUCAAGUGCAAUUGCUAAAUUCUGUUCAGAUAUUCUGUCUUUUGAUUCAGCAAUAUCUUCAAUUAUUCUGUGGACUAAUAUGUUGUCCGUCUUCAGGAUGGCUCCACCGACUCGUCAGAACCCAGGGCGUGAGGAUAUGCCGCCUCCACCUCCUCCCCCUCCGCUGUCGCCGCCUCCUCCUGUAGAGGCCUGGCAAGCGGUGAUGGCAGCUCCUAAUGCAAACACCCAGAUGCUGAUUCAGUUGCUGCAAGAGAGAGCCAACCAACAGCCACGCAAUUUUCAACAUGGUGGAAAUCAGUUUGCGAGUCUGAGUCAGUUUCUGUCGAACCAGCCAAAGACGUUCACUUCCUGCGACCAGCCAUUUGAUGCAGAAGAUUGGAUCCGUGAUAUGAACAACCAUUUCGAGUGUAGCAAUGUGCGUCUGGAGGAUUAUGUCAAGUUUGCAACGUUCCAGUUGAAGGGGCAAGCUUCUAUAUGGUGGCAGCAGCUGAAGGACCCCAGAGGCGCUAGGGUGAUUUCGUGGGAUGAGUUCUGUCGUGACUUCAGGUCCCACUACAUCCCUUCCAGUUUUGUGGAGGAGAUGUGUGAGAAUUUCACGCGUUUGAAGCAGGGCGGCAAUUCCGUGUACAAGUACAAUGUUGAGUUCCACGAGCUGGCCCGUUACACGCUGCAGGAUAUCCCGGAUCAGAAGAGCAAGAUUUAUCAGUUUAGGGGUGGCUUGAAAGAAGACUUGCAGUUAGCUCUUGCCUUGCACGAUCCUGAGGAGUUCGACAAGUUUUACAACCUAGCGCUCAGAGCAGAGGUAGCCUUGCUCAGGGUGGAAAAUUUCAAGAAGCGCUUCAGAGAUUCCAGCUCUUCCUCGACUCAGGUAGUUCAGAAGCAACAUAAGUUUUGGGUUUCUCCUCCUCCUCCUCGGCACUUGCAGCAGCUUAAGCACUCAGGUGGUUGUGGUUCUUCCCACCCACCCAACCCUGGCUUCCAACAGAGAUACCAGCAUCAGAAGCAAGGGCCACCUCAGACUCAGUACCGGCAGCCAGCAGAUGUCACUUGUCACAAGUGUGGGCAGAAGGGUCACUAUGCCAACAAAUGUACUUCUCAGCUCCGUCUGCCGCCUCCUCCUCCAGGCAAACCUCCAAGCAAUGCUCUUGUCAAGUUCAACCCCAGAUCAGCUCGAGUCAACAUGGUGAACGCAACUGAAGUAGAGAACUCAUCAGAUGUGAUCAUGGGUAACCUCCUCGUCAAUGUUAUUCCUGCUAAAGUGUUAUUUGAUUGUAGUGCAUCACAUUGCUUCAUGUCCCGACCAUUCUUUGCAAAGCAUGAGUUUGUUUGUCAAGAUUUGGUUAAGCCUAUGUCAAUAGUUUCUCCUGGGAGAUUGAUGAAUUCCAAUUGUCUGGUUCCGAAUGUUUCUGUCAAGAUGGGCGCUUAUGCUUUUCUGGCAUCUCCUAUUGUCUUGGGCAAUUCCGACAUCGACUUGAUUCUUGGUAUGGACUGGCUGGCCAUGAACAAGGCGUCAAUUGAUUGUGAAGCCAAAGAAGUGAAGGUUACCCACUCUUCGGAGGACGUGAUUAUAUUCGCGGCGCGCUAUGAUACAAUCCGUCUAUUCUCUUUGAAUGAAAAGGGUGAGAUCAAUCCUAUUAAGCAAGUCCCAGUGGUCGGCGAAUAUCAAGAUGUGUUUCCUGAAGAGCCGCCAGGCAUGCCUCCGCACCGUGAAGUUGAGUUUGUCAUUGAGCUUGAGCCAGGCACAGAGCCAGUGUGCAAACGGUCGUACAAGCUGGGUCCAGAAGAAUUGAAGGAACUUAAGAGGCAACUCGAUGAGCAGGAGCAUUUGGGUUUGAUCAGACCGGGCUCGUCUCCGUGGGGCUGUGGUGUUCUGUUUGUCAAGAAGAAGGAUGGCACGGACCGGCUGUGUGUCGAUUACCGUCCAUUGAAUAAGAAGACAAUCAGGAACAAAUAUCCACUUCCGAACAUAACUGAGUUAUUCGAACAGUUGAAAGGUUCUAUAGUAUUCUCCAAGCUUGAUCUCAGAAUGGGCUAUCAUCAAAUUCGCAUUCGCGAGGAAGACAUUCCGAAGACGGCCUUCAGGACUAGUUUUGGCUCGUAUGAGUAUACGGUCCUGUCUUUUGGUCUGGCAAAUGCUCCUCCGACAUUCUGUCGAUUGAUGAACUAUAUUUUCUCCCCGUACAAGAAUGGAUUUGUCUUGCUCUAUCUCGACGACAUUCUGGUCUUUUCUGAAACUGAGGAAGAACAUGAAUAACAUCUCAGAUUGGUGCUUGAUAAGCUGAGAGAGUACAAGCUGUAUGCCAAGUUUUCCAAGUGUGAGUUCUGGCUGAAAGAAGUGGUGUAUCUUGGGCACAUUAUCUCUGCCGAGGGCAUUAAAGUUGAUCCGUCCAAGGUUCAGGCCGUUGUUGAAUGGGAGCCUCCGCAGAAUGUGAAGCAGGUUCAAAGCUUUCUUGGGCUUGCUGGCUGUUGCAGAAGGUUCGUUGAGAACUUCUCCAAGAUCGCCAAGCCACUCUCAAGUCUUCUUCAGAAGGGUGUUAAGUAUGCUUGGUCUCCAGAGUGUCAACUGGCCUUCGAUACACUCAAAGAGAACCUUGUUGGAAUUAUGCCCUAGAGGCAAUAAUAAAUAUAGUUAUUAUUAUAAUUCCUGUAUCAAGAUGAUCGUUUAUUAUCCAUGCUAUAAUUGUAUUGAAUGAAGACUCAUUUACAUGUGUGGAUACAUAGACAAAACACUGUCCCUAGCAAGCCUCUAGUUGGCUAGCCAGUUGAUCAAAGAUAGUCAGUGUCUUCUGAUUAUGAACAAGGUGUUGUUGCUUGAUAACUGGAUCACGUCAUUAGGAGAAUCACGUGAUGGACUAGACCCAAACUAAUAGACGUAGCAUGUUGAUCGUGUCAUUUUGUUGCUACUNNNNNNNNNNNNNNNNNNNNNNNNNNNNNNNNNNNNNNNNNNNNNNNNNNNNNNNNNNNNNNNNNNNNNNNNNNNNNNNNNNNNNNNNNNNNNNNNNNNNNNNNNNNNNNNNNNNNNNNNNNNNNNNNNNNNNNNNNNNNNNNNNNNNNNNNNNNNNNNNNNNNNNNNNNNNNNNNNNNNNNNNNNNNNNNNNNNNNNNNNNNNNNNNNNNNNNNNNNNNNNNNNNNNNNNNNNNNNNNNNNNNNNNNNNNNNNNNNNNNNNNNNNNNNNNNNNNNNNNNNNNNNNNNNNNNNNNNNNNNNNNNNNNNNNNNNNNNNNNNNNNNNNNNNNNNNNNNNNNNNNNNNNNNNNNNNNNNNNNNNNNNNNNNNNNNNNNNNNNNNNNNNNNNNNNNNNNNNNNNNNNNNNNNNNNNNNNNNNNNNNNGUUAGUAUGGAUCAAGACUGGGAUUUGUCACUCCGUGUGACGGAGAGGUAUCUCGGGGCCCACUCGGUAAUACAACAUCACACACAAGCCUUGCAAGCAAUGUGACUUAGUGUAAAUUGCGGGAUCUUGUAUUACGGAAUGAGUAAAGAGACUUGCCGGUAAACGAGAUUGAAAUANNNNNNNNNNNNNNNNNNNNNNNNNNNNNNNNNNNNNNNNNNNNNNNNNNNNNNNNNNNNNNNNNNNNNNNNNNNNNNNNNNNNNNNNNNNNNNNNNNNNNNNNNNNNNNNNNNNNNNNNNNNNNNNNNNNNNNNNNNNNNNNNNNNNNNNNNNNNNNNNNNNNNNNNNNNNNNNNNNNNNNNNNNNNNNNNNNNNNNNNNNNNNNNNNNNNNNNNNNNNNNNNNNNNNNNNNNNNNNNNNNNNNNNNNNNNNNNNNNNNNNNNNNNNNNNNNNNNNNNNNNNNNNNNNNNNNNNNNNNNNNNNNNNNNNNNNNNNNNNNNNNNNNNNNNNNNNNNNNNNNNNNNNNNNNNNNNNNNNNNNNNNNNNNNNNNNNNNNNNNNNNNNNNNNNNNNNNNNNNNNNNNNNNNNNNNNNNNNNNNNNNNCAUGUCUACAUAGUUCUCAAACCCGCAGGGUCUGCACACUUAAGGUUCGACGUUGUUUUAUGCGUAUUUGAGUUAUAUGGUUGGUUACCGAAUGUUGUUCGGAGUCCCGGAUGAUAUCACGGACGUCACGAGGGUUUCCGGAUAUGGUCCAGAAACGAAGAUUGAUAUAUAGGAUGACCUCAUUUGAUUACCGGAAGGUUUUCGGAGUUACCGGGAAUGUACCGGGAAUGACGAAUGGGUUCCGGGAGUUCACCGGGGGCAACCCACCCCGAGGAAGCCCAUAGGCCUUGAGGGUGGCGCACCAUCCCUUAGUGGGCUGGUGGGACAGCCCAAAAAGGGCCCUAUGCGCAUUGGAAGAAAAAUCAAAGAGAAAGAAAAAAAAAGGAGGAGGUGGGAAGGGAAGGAAGGACUCCCACCCACCAAACAAAGUCCAACUCGGUUUGGGGGGAGACCUUCCCCCCUUGGCUCGGCCGACCACCUUGGGGCUCCUUGAGCCCCAAGGCAAGGCCCCCCUCUCCCACCUAUAUAUACGGAGAUUUUAGGGCUGAUUUGAGACGACUUUUCCACGGCAACCCGACCACCUACCUCCACGGUUUUUCCUCUAGAUCGCGUUUCUACGGAGCUCGGGCGGAGCCCUGCUGAGACGAGAUCAUCACCAACCUCCGGAGCGCCAUCACGCUGCCGGAGAACUCUUCUACCUCUCCGUCUCUCUUGCUGGAUCAAGAAGGCCGAGAUCAUCGUCGAGUUGUACGUGUGCUGAACGCGGAGGUGCUGUCCGUUUGGCACUAUAUCGUGGGACAGAUCGCGGGAUAGUUCGCGGGGCGGAUCGAGGGACGUGAGGACGUUCCACUACAUCAACCGCGUUCACUAACGCUUCUGCUGUACGGUCUACAAGGGUACGUAGAUCACUCAUCCCCUCUCGUAGAUGGACAUCACCAUGAUAGGUCUUCGUGCGCAUAGGAAAACUUUUGUUUCCCAUGCGACGUUCCCCAACAAAGCUUACCUCCACUCCGGUCUUGGCCCCUCCGGAUGAUUCCAAGCCAUACCAGGUCUUUUGCGACGCUUCUCUCUAGGGUCUUGGUGCAGUCCUGAUGCAAGAUAAGAAGGUGGUUGCUUAUACCUCCAGGCAGUUGAAGCCUGCGGAGAAGAACUAUCCUGUGCAUGAUCUCGAGCUAGCAGUUGUGGUACACGCCUUGAUGACUUGGAGACAUCUCUUGUUGCAGCGUAAGGUUGAAGUUUUCACCGAUCACAAGAGUCUCAAGUACAUUUUCACUCAGCCUAACUUGAAUCUUCGGCAAACACAUUGGGUGGAAAUGCUCCAGGAUUUUAAUCCGAGUGUUGAGUACUCGCCAGGCAAGGCUAAUGUCGGGGCAGAUGCUUUGAACAGGAAGGCAUAUUGCAACAGUCUGAUUCUGCAACCUCUCCAGCCGGGUCUUUGUGAGUCUUUCAGGAAGCUCAACCGUCAGCUAGUACCUCAGGGAUUUCUUGCGAACCUUCAGAUCUCUCCUACCUUGGAAGAUCACGUCAGAGCAGCUCAACUUCUUGACACUCUGGUGAAGAAGGUGAAGAUUGGCGUGGGAAAGAGCCUCCCCAAGUAUAAGUGCUUCACUGUUGAUGCCAGGGACACGUUGUUUUUCGAGGAUCGCUUUGUCGUCCCGAAAGGUGAUCUGAGGAAGGUAAUCAUGGAAGAAGCUCAUAACUCUCUGCUCUCUAUUCAUCCUGGAAGCUCCAAAAUGUACCAUGACUUUAAGCAGACAUUCUGGUGGACUCGUAUCAAACGUGAGAUUGCUCAGUUCGUAAACGAGUGUGAUGUAUGUCGAAGGGUGAAAGCAGAACAUCAACGCCCAGCCGGCCUUUUGCAGCCUUUGCCUAUUCCCGAGUGGAAGUUCGAUCACAUUGAGAUGGAUUUCGUCACCGGGUUUCCGAAGUCCAAGAAGGGUAAUGAUGCUAUCUUCGUCGUCAUCGACAAGUUGAGUAAAGUGGCUCAUUUUCUUCCAGUCAAGGAGUCCAUUUUAGCAGCUCAGCUGGCAGAGUUGUACACCUCCAGGAUUGUCUCUUUGCACGGCGUGCCUAUGAUGAUCUCUUCAGAUCACGGAAGUAUCUUCACUUCCAAGUUCUGGGACUCCUUUCAGUCUGCUAUGGGCACAAAGAUCUGCUUUAGCACAGCGUUAUAUCCUCAGACUAGUGGUCAAGUGGAGAGAGUGAAUCAAGUUCUUGAGGAUAUGCUAAGAGCCUGUGUUAUCUCUUUUGGCAUGAAGUGGGAAGAUUGUCUGCCUUUCCUGGAGUUCUCGUAUAACAACAGUUAUCAAGCUAGUUCUGGCAAGGCUCCGUUUGAAAUUCUCUAUGGCAGGAAGUGCCGUACUCCGCUCAACUGGUCCAAGACCGGCGAGCGUCAGAUCCUUGGCAAUGACAUGAUAGAAGAAGCUGAGGAGAUGUGUCGGAUCAUUCGCGACAACCUCAGAGCAGCCCAGUCCCGUCAGAAGAGCUAUUAUGAUAGCAAGCACCAUGACAUGUCUUAUGAGCUUGAUGACUUUGUCUAUCUCAAGGUGUCACCUAUGAAGGGUAUGCAGCGCUUUGGCAUCAAAGGCAAGCUUGCGCCUCGUUUCGUUGGUCCGUUUAGAGUGGUUGGCAAGAGAGGCGACCUUGCGUACCAGCUCGAGCUCCCGUCUACCUUUGCAAAUGUCCAUGAUGUGUUCCAUGUUUCUCAGCUUCGGAGGUGUUUCAAGAGCCCCGAGCGCACUGUGCAUCUUCAAGACAUCAACCUUCAGCCUGACCUUUCUUAUCGUGAGCAUCCAGUUGCGGUUCUCGAGGCGACUGAGCGCAAGACCCGUAACAAGACUGUCAAAUUUCUCAAAGUGUAGUGGUCACACCAUUUCGAUAAAGAGGCGACUUGGGAACGCGAGGUUCACCUCCAUUCUGAACUUCCCAAUUUCUUUCAGUCUUAGAUCUCGAGGGCGCGAUCUUCUUUGUAGUGUGGGAGAGUUCGUAGUGCCCCAAGUGUAAACCUUCCCUAUUUGGAACCUAUUGCAUGUGGGUCCACCUUGUGAUGGAUAUGAUGAUGUCAUUUUGUGUCUAUAAUUUCAUGUGUCACCUUGUGUUCUUAUUCUCCUUUUGCAUGCAUGCAUCAAUGACAUACCAUCCUUGCCUUACCUUGUGAUGCAUGUGAUCUUGUUAGGAGUGAUGUGGUGGUCAUUGUGAUCUCCUGAGGUGGUGUUAUGAUUUCCUGUGGUUGUGAUGGUAGUACUAAGGGUAGUGGUGCUUGUCAUAUUUUCAAACCCCUUCUAUUUAUUUGCAAACCCUUUUCUCUCUUUUAAUCUCAUGUUAAAAAAUCCAUCUUCCCAAAACUGAUUUAAAAAUGUCUUGUGUUUGGAGUUAAUUGUGGAGAUGUUGGGGUGCCAGAUUUGGUGAUUUGUAGAGUGGCCCAAAGGUUCAAGAAAUCACAAAACAGAUAACACAAUUGUUGUUUUGUAAUUAUUUUAGUUGCUCCAAAAAUACCAUUUGUUUUUAUUUAAAUAGGUUAUUUAUUUUGCUGAACAGGGCCAUUUUUAGUUUGAUUUUUUCCCACCACAUAUAGCCCUAUGCUUAUUUUCUUUCCCUGUUUUAUUUUGUCAAAAGAAGAGGCAGGGUGGCCUUUCUUCUAUAUGGCACCACCUGUGGGCUCUCUCCCACAGGUCGGCCCAUCGCACUCCUUCCCUCUCGCGCCAGGAGCCCACCCCCGCUCCUCCUUCUCCCACCUGACGCCGUCCGCGCCCCGCACCUUUCCGUCAGAAGCUGAGAGAGGAUGAGUUGCCGCCGUGUGCACCACGUCGAGGGGCCCCCCAUUAUAUUCGUUGGCGUCUCUGCCUCCCCCCUCCUCCUAGGGUUCCUCCUCUCCCCUCAUCCACCGCCGCCACCUCUCUCCUUCCCCAUCUCUCUUCUCUGUCAAGUGAGUCUGUAGGUUCACGAAGAGAGAGCAGAACUCCAUCGCCGCCGAUCGCCGUGCUUCUGUCGUCGUCCGCCGCUGCCGCUAUGUCCGUGAGCACGGGAGAGCACCUCGCGUCCCAUUCCCGUCCUCGGUGAGGCCGGGGAGCGACCUCACCGGUGGCCAGCUUGACGUCAGUGCAUCGGUCCCGGUGCACUUCGUCACUGCUUCGGUCUACGGCAGGAUCUCCCUCGGCGCGUCUUCUUCCUCUCCGUUCCAGCUUCCUCCCCUUCAGAUCGGAGCCCCUCUUCCUUCCCUAGGUGAACUAUCGCUCCUCCUCCCUUCCCCUCGGUUGGAUCAGCGGGAGUGGUCGCCGUGCUCCUCUGUUCAGGGGAGAGAACGGCAGGUGCAUGCCGUGAUGAUGUGUGUAGUGUGUAGUGUGCUCUGUGUGAGUAGAUGUAGAGAAGAGACUCUCCUCGGAGAGUAGGUGUGUCUUCCCCUUCUCUGAGGGGCGUGGUAGAGGAUACCAUCUCCGGUGAUCUCUGUGUCACCGGCUCGCAGGUGCAGGCCAGGGAAUGGAAUCGUGGUAGUAUACCUUGUGUUAGAUCCCUACUCUAUCAGACAUCGAAGCAUAGCGUAGUGGUAGUAGUGCGUGUGCCUGAUGAGAAGGGUGUGGGUUCGAAUCCCCCCUUCGGCACCCUUUUAAUUGUUUUGCGUUGCUCUGUAUAGUAGAUAAACAGAGACAAGUUUCCUUGUCUAGGCAUCCCUCUCUAUCGAGCAAGCAGGUUGUAGCGCAGUGGUGUUGUGGUGUGCAGUGCACUAGGGCACAGGGGUUCGAAUCCCAGGCUGCCCCAUUUUCUUGUUCCCUUGUUUCUAUUUCUUUUCCCUUUGCUGUUUCUUGCUACACUUGUGCCUAAAACAAUAGAUGACAAUGGCAAUUAUUUUUUCCCUUUGCUGCUAUAGAAGUGCUAGAUGAUGUGAUGCAUGUGUGUGUUCAUGUGAGAUGUGUAUGUGUGUGUGUGCAUACACAUGGUGUUAGCCACAUGUGUAGGUGUGUGGGUGUGGUGCCUCCCUUGUAUAUGAUGUAAGUGUAGGUGGCUUGUGUUCUUUUUCUUAUGUGUCUAGUUAGAUGGCAGUAGGUAUGUGCAUGUUUGUGUGAGUGUUGCACACACAUGAGGUGUUGCUAGUGUAUGUAUGCAUGUAUGUGUAGCUUUCAUAUCACUUGCUUGAUAGCUUUCCCUUAUGUUCUACUUGGGGUCUUAGAGCUUAUGAUGAGUUUGUGGUAUGAUAUGUAUGUGGUAAAACAGCCCCAUAUGCAAGUUGUGCACCUCCUCAUGUUUAAUAUGAGAGAGAGCAUGAUGUGUGUGUGUGUGGGUGACUUAGUGAGAAGUAUCUGUGUUGUUGAUGUGCUUGACACCAACAUGGGGUCCAAACCCUCAUGUCCAUAUUGUCUUUGUGCACAUGAGCAUAGAUAUGUGAUAGUUGUUCUAGUGGGAGUUGCAUGAAAUGUUGCACUAUUCACUAUGUUGGAUUCUAUGUAGUUUUUCCUUCCUAGUUUGAGCUCAAGCAAGUGCAUGUGUUUUAUAUAUGGCUUUUGGGUAGAAAGAUCCCAGGAAUCCAUUGGUGAAAUCAUUUUUGCCAUUGGAACAUUUUCUGGAAAAGUCAUAUUUACAUUUUCUUCUAAGUUUAGAGCUUGGUUCCAUGGAUUAUGAUGUGCUCUUGUAUUUGUUUCUUGAUUGUGGUAGUGGAGGGUGACCCCCUCUACCACAUGUUGGUUUAAAUUCAUGAUUUGGAAUCCAUGUGUGCAAGUUGUGCCCAUCCAAAGUUGGCAUGUGACUGAAAUUGCAGAUUAGUGAAAAUCUGAGAUUUUCACCAAGUCUGAGAAUCUGUUUAUAUUUUCUUCUCCUGUAGAUGAGGUUGUGCUGGUCAUUGUGUUGUGAGCUAGCCCUAGCUUUCAACUAGAAUGUUGUACCUGAUAUAUUUUUCUAGCUCUCUGUGAAUUAUCAUGUCAUUUGGAGCCCUGUAGGUAUUCAUUUGGCUGCUGUCGAAAAGCUUCAGAGCAAAGACAGAAAGUUAGGUGUAGGAAUUUUCACUAAGUCCCUGUGAUCUGAUGGUUUUGGGAAAGUUUGCAACGUUGUAUCUUCCUGUGUUUAAUUCCUUUUUGUGUGAUUCUUGCUUGCGCUGGUAGUAUUCUUGGCUAGGUACAUCCACAUAUAUUAUUUGGCAUAGUUGGGUGGUUGUAGGUGCUUUGCAUGUAGCUCACAAAGUGCUAUGAUGCAGUUUAUGGCAGAUUGUGUAGUUUUGUCAUUUUGAUGAUUGUGAGUGCUUAGUUGAUGUUGUGGUGUUCUUCUUUGCUCGACCCCAUCCAUGAUGGGUUGUUUUCUGUCUUGGCAACCUGGGAAUACCAUAUUUGUGCCAUUUGAGUGUGUGGUGAUGAUUUUGACAUGUAGGGCGUCACAUCUUCUUUCGUUGAUUCCCGUUGAUCCGUAGCUCCGAUUGUACUGUUCUUUAUAUGGUUUUGCAUCAUUUUCACGAGACGCAUCUGAUAAUGUCAUUCUCAUGCAUCUCAAAAUAGGUUAGCAUGCAGUACUGUCCAGGAACAUGUUUGUGCUAGUGAUAGAAAUAGUGAUGCAAGCUCAUAUUCAUCUCAUGCACCAAGGUCUUAGAUUGCUGAGUCCCCGAGGCUCACGGAUUCCUCCACUAUACCAACAGGUUCAGGAACCCUAGAGACAGAUGAUCCCGACGGCACGCAGCGUGCGUGGCAGUACGAUGAGGAGACGGACCGCCUGUACGUGAACUAUCCAAAAGAUUGAGGCGUGGUUGUGAUCAUGGGCCUGCAGGCAGGGUAGCAUAGCCUUUCUCUGUUUUGUAGUCUGUAGUGGAACUACUUUGGUUGUAUGCGUGAUGUACUCUGAUAUAUUUAUGAGAAGGCAAUUGACCCCCUGAUUGUCUAUCUUUUAUUAUUAUGUAUGUGCUGUGUUACCUGUUUGCGAGACGCUUAGAUGCGCUCCUUUCCAAUUCGGGGCCUCGAUCCCCAGAUCGGAAAGGACCGCAUCUUGGUCGUUAUUGGUCUGCACAACCCUGGAUUGCGGGGGUAGGUUUAUCUGAGCUCAGAGAUGCUGGAGAGAGUUUUGCUACUCUUCACAUGGUUCCUCGGGACUUGGGGAACAACUCUUUUGAUAGAUUCAUGCGACACAAUGAGGGCGCAGGUUUUCGUGGCGCAACUGGGUUUCGUCAAGGAUGCCUGAUGUUUUUGGGCGUGCCGCUAGAUUUCCGUAACGCUGAUGAUCUUCGUGCUGCGGUGAACACUUUUGGUGAAUUCCACCAUUGGGUGAGUGAUGAUCCAUAUCUUGUCCGCUCCAUAGUCUUUCCAUCGUUCCCGGACGAUUUUUUGGUUCCUCGGAGUGUUACGUUCUCCGAAUAUGCUGCUUGGGGUGGAGCAAGGGUUUCUUGGUUUGCGCCAUUAUUCAUCCUGGGUGCGGCCUUUGCAGAGAAGAUGCCCAACAAUGAAGAUUGCAUGCCCCUCAAUGGCAACUCCCACCCGAUGCCAGGUCAGCUUGAGGAGGAUAAUCUGCUCUUUGCUCUACCUCCUUACCCCCCUCUAGGGUGGAACGAUGUGCCGCCACCACCUCCAAUGCCAGAGCCUCCAGUUCAACCGAAAGAGGGAGGUUGGGGUUGGCACGCCGAAGCUCCUGAUGCCGAAACUGUCGCGCCUGAGCAGGAUCAAGAGUCCAUGGUCAUUGACCAACCAACAUCCUCUGAUUCAGUCCAGGAAAUUAUGUCCUUGCCAAUACUGCUACCGAUGAUCAUGCCCCUCCCAAUGUUGAGAAUCUUGACGAUGACGCUCCUGAGGAGUACAACCCGCUCGCAAUUGUUCCUUAUCAGUAGCACAUCUUUAGGCCAGUUAACCUGAUGAUUGGAGCAGUCUGUGUUGCUUAUGGUCCUCCGUUGCCGCCUGUUGUUUCAUGGGCAAGAUCUUUUGAAGCACUCAUGGGGGUGUUCAGUUCAGUGCAUGUCCCUCGUCACCUCCACAUGCCAGCGGCUAUGCCUAUUGCGCUCCCCAAGCGCUCCUGGUCAAUUGCAUUUGAUGAAUACCGUGGGGAGCCCAGCAUUGUUUAUAAGGACUACACUCAUACCCCCAGCUCUGAGGUAACGCCACCAACUGACAGCAUCUUUGCACCAUCAGGGGAUCUUUUUUCUUUUGAAUCACCAGCUGCCACGAAGAAGGUGCCACUCAAGAAGGCCACUCCAAUUAUGGACUCAUCAGUCCGCAGAUGCACCAGAGGAUCUGUCAAGCGUGAAGGCUUCAAGCUUGUUUUGCAGGGGCUUCCGAUGCACGUGCCCAAGAAGAGAAAGCCGCGCGCUAAACCAAUGGAUGUACCGGAGGUUCAGGCAGCCCCACCACCGUUGCAGGAGGAGCCCGUCCCACUGGCAACCCCAGUUCGGGUGAUCCAAGCUAUUGGCCAAAGCCUUGGCAUCGCUCCUGAGAAGCUCACUUCGGAUGGACUUAUGGAAGAUCCUGCUGUUUCCAAGCCUCCACUCAAUGAUGAUUAGACAAGUGUUUAUGUCCCUAUGCUUUAUACAUUGUUUCCUUUAUCAUGAUACUGCUUGCUGUGUCACAACUCUUUGAACUAUGGUUGUGUCAGUUAUUAUGUAACUGUGCCUUUUAUUAUUAAAUCUUGUUGCUAUGGAUAGUCGAUCUACAAGAAGUUGGCGGCUUCUUUGUUGGAAUGUGUGUGGAUUAAAUUCACAUUCACGGCAAAGGGCAGUUCGUAACAAAAUAGACGAAAGCUUGACUUCAGUUGUUUGCCUCCAGGAAACAAAAAUGCAACAUAUUGAUUUUUGGACUGUUAGAACUUUUUGCCCCAAAAGGUUUGAUCAAUUUCCUUAUAGCCCAUCGCGUGGUGCCUUUGGUGGAUUGAUCACCCUAUGGAAUUCCUCCAUUUUAUCUGGAACCCUGAUUGAAUCUCAACCCUUUGGUUUAGUUGUGUCAUUCACCUCAAAUCAUAUUUCUGAAACUUGGACUCUGGUCAAUGUUUAUGGUCCUUGCCAAGGAGAGGCUAGAGAUUAGUUUUUCAGCUGGUUAUAUAACAUAAAUAUAUGUGUCAAUGAUAAUUGGCUGAUUCUUGGAGAUUUCAACUUUAUUCUCUCACACUCUAAUACAAAUCUUCUUGGUGCUGAUGUGAAUGAUAUGUUUAUCUUUAAUGAAAUUAUUGGCCAUCUGGGUCUGUUAGAACUACCACUGAAGGGAAGGUCUUUGACUUGGUCAAAUAUGCAAGAUUCACCACUACUUGAACAAUUAGACUGGUUUUUCACUUCUACCAAUUGGAUAUCCUCCUAUCCAUUGACACGGGUUCUUCCUUUAGCAAAAUAUGCAUCUGAUCAUGUCCCCUGUGUUGUGACAGUCAACACUUCCAUUCCCAAAUGUAACAUGUUUCGUUUUGAAAACUAUUGGGUGGAGAUGGAUGGAUUCCUUGACUGUGUCUAGAAUUAUUUGAAGAUUCCUUCCAGGAAAAGUCACAUCACUACCAUCAUCAUGGAUAAGGUUAAACACCUAAGGCGGGCUCUAAAGACAUGGCAGACUAGCCUCUCUCAGAUCAAAGCACUCAUUGAUAAGUGCAAUAAGGUGGUGCUCUGUCUGGAUAAUCUUGAAGACCUCAGACCCCUAUUCAGACCGGAAGCUAACUUCAGAGUGAUUGUGAAGCUUCACCUUGAACACCUUCUGCAUUUGCAAUUCCUUUACUGGAAAAAGAGAACUACUAUCAGAUUCAUCAAGGUGGGGGAGGAGAACACCAAGUUUUUCCAUGCCAUGGCAACUGAAAGAUAUAGAAGAAACUCUAUUUCAUCACUUCAAUUGGAGGAUGGAUCUGUUAUAUCCGUUCAUGAGCCUAUUGUUGUCUGUUUUUGGUCAUCCUUUAAGGACAGGAUGGGCUCCUCUCAAGGAAUUAACCUGGCUUUCAAUCUUCAGUCUCUCAUACAUAGGGUAGAAGGACUAGUUGUUCCUACUUUACCUUUUACCAAAUAGGAGAUGGAUAAGACUGUCAAAGAAAUUCACAUUGAUAAAGUUCCAGGUUCAGAUGGUUUCAAUGGACUUUUCUUCAAAAAAUGCUGGCAUAUCAUCUGUCCUGACUUUUAUCAGCUUGCCAAUGAUUUCCAUGCAGGGAUUGCAAAACUAGAAAAUAUGAACUCCUCAUACAAUACCUUGGUGCCAAAAAAUAGUUCUCCUGAACAAGUAGGUGAUUUUAGGCCCAUCUCUCUCACUGGAAUUGGACUUAAAUAUCUUUCCAAGAUGGUUGCCAAUAUAAUGCAGUUACAGAUCAUGAAAUGCAUCCAUAAGAACCAGUAUGGUUUCAUCAAGUUCAGAACCAUCCAAGACUGUGUUGGAUGUACAUUGGAAUACCUCCACAAGUAUCACCACUAAAAAAACAUUGUCAUCCUCAAACUUGAUUUUGAAAAGGCUUUUGACUCUGUGGAACAUGAAUUUAUAUUUCAGAUUCUUAGGCACAAGGGUUUUAAUGAGAGGUGGAUAUUAUGGGUACAGCAACUACUCUCUUCUCGCUUUUCCUCUGUUCUUCUUAAUGGUGUUCCUGGUAGAAAAUUCAUGUGUAAGAAGGGUGUCAGGCAGGGAGAUCCCAUGUCCCCUCUCCUUUUUGGCAUUGCUGCUGACUUUCUUCAAACCUUGGUAAAUCAGUUGUUAGAAAAUGAGCUCAUUCAGCUACCAAUACCUUGCCAUGAUAAAGACUUCUAAAUAGUCCAAUAUGCAAAUGACACUCUUAUCAUUUUGCCUGCUGUGGAGUCCCAGCUACUGGAGUUCAAAAAGAUGCUUAUGCUUUUCUCCUAGUCCAUUGGUCUCCAUGUGAAUUAUCACAAGUCUGCUCUAUUGCCUAUCAAUAUUGAUCAAGGAAAACUUCAAAGGCUAGCUGCCUCCAUUGGGUGUAAGGUAGGAUCACUGCCUUUCACCUAUCUUGGACUGCCUGUUGGGACAACCAAACCAAGGAUUAUUGAUCUAAAGCCGUUGGUGGAUAAUAUGGAAAGAAGACUCUCUGCUAGCUCCUCCUUCCUGGCUCAGGGUGGUCUUUGCAAUAUCUCAACUCAACUUUGUCCUCUGUUCCAUUUUUUCCUAUGUAGUCUGUACAUACCACCAGGGAUCAUUAAGCAGUUGGAAAGGAUACAAAGACAAUGUCUUUGGCGAAAAAAUGGCCAAGACCAUGCCCCUUCUCUUGCGGCCUGGGACUUGGUGUGCAGACCAAAAAUGAAAGGUGGUUUGGGGAUUAUGAACCUGUCUGUCCAGAAUGAGGCUCUCUUCUGAAGCAUGUGGAUAAGUUCUUGAAUAAAGCAGAAGUACUCUGGGUUGAUUUAAUAUGGAACACUUACUACCACAACACAGUUCCACAGGGUACCUCCCUUUGUGGAUCAUUCUGGUGGAAAUAUAUGUGCAAGAGAAUGGACAAUUUCAGGGUUGUCACCUAUGUACAACCAAAUAGAGGAGAUACUUUCCCCUUUUGGUCUGAUUCCCGGGCACUAGGCGGCUCAACCCUACCCCUAGAUCAUCGGUUCCAACGACUGUUCUAUUUUUCUAUUGAUACAUUCUGCACUGCUGAGGAGGUUUUCCAAGCAUUUGCGACAAAUAGCAUGACCAACAUGUUUCACUUGUCACUUUCUGACAGGGCCUUCCAAGAGUUAGAAACGGUCACCUGCUUUAUCCGAAACCUUAAUAGAGAGCAGUUAAGCAAAGAUGUAUGGCUUUGGAGUAGUGAAAGUAAGGUUCACUCUGCUAAGUAAUACUACCUUCAUGUCCAUCAGCCCAUUAUACCCAACCCUCUCCUAACUUGGAUUUGGAAGAUUUUCUUCACCAUGAAGAUCAAAAUGUUUGCGUGGAUGCUCAUUAUGGACAGGCUGAACACCCAGGAUAUGCUUGAGAGACGCCACUGGAGAGUUUCUUAUUCAAACCUAUGUGUCCUAUGUCAUUCAAGGGUCAAAGAGGAUAGGGAUCAUCUCUUCUUCAACUGCCUAUUUAGCAGCAGGGUUUGAAACUAUCUACAGAUAACAUGGCAGGGUACUUCCAUGUGGGACACUUCAUUCGCAGCGAGGAAAGAUUUUUAGCAUCCUUUCUUCUCUGAAGUACUGUUCACUGCCUGCUGGAAUAUUUGGACAGUCAGAAAUGCAAGGAUUUUUAACAAUGAGCGUCCCAGAUUCAAUAAAUGGAAGUCUAGCUUCACUCAUGAUAUAUCUCUUUUAGCAUAUAGGAUUAAGGCUAGAUUUAAGGAAGAUCUCCUUAAGUGGAUCUCCUUCCUACCUCCGUGAGGUUUGUAUAUCUGCACCCACCUCCACCCCUGUUGUAUAUUCUAAUCCUCUCAUGUACAUAAACUCUCUUUAUGUUGGAAUAAAAGAAAAGGUUGUGGGGUGAUUCCCUACAGUCGUUCGUAAAAAAAUUCUUUAUCAUGGGGUUGCCUACUGAAGUUGGAGAAAUGAAACUCAUGAGACAUACCACCAAACUUAACUCUGACAUUUUACUUUUUGAAAUCUAUUUGAGCAUUGAAAAUGCUCAAGAAGGGUCUACCAAAUAUUAUGGGACAAAAAUCAUCUUGUGGUGAGCCAAGUACUAGAAAAUCAGUAGGGUAUUUUACUUUUGCACACAAGACUUCAACAUCUCUAACAAUCCCAAGUGUGUCUCUAUUAGCCAGUUUAAUAGUAACAUCUAUGUCUUCUAUUUCAGCGGGUUCUAUCUCAUGCAUAAUUUCUUGAUAUAAUGUAAAAAUGAAUAGCACUAACACUAGCACCCAUAUCACAUAAACCAUGAUAGCAAUGAUCUCCUAUUUUGAUUGAGACGAUGGGCAUGCCAACAACAGGUUUCUUGUUAUCUUUAUGAUCAGGUUUGGCAAUUGUUGGAGCUUCAUCACAGAAAUAAAUAACAUGCCCCUCGAUAUUAUCGACCAAGAGCUCCUUGACCAUAGCAAUACUAGGUUCUUCCUUGAUUUUCUCAUAGGGUUUGGUUGUUCUAACAUAAAUAUUGUUAACCAUGGUUGAAGUUUUAGCAUGUUCCUUUAUCCUAACAGGGAAAGGUGGUUUAUCAAUAUAAGCAAUAGACAUAACUGGGUCAACAUUGUAAAUGAUUGUUUCAUCCUCAACUUUAAUUGGUUCUUCAACUUUUUCUUUAAUACGUGGAUGAUAUUUAAACCAUUUAUCUUUAGGGAGAUCAACAUGAGUAGCAAAGGUUUCACAGAAUGAAGCUACUAUCUGAGAGUCAAGUCCGUAUUUAGUGCUAACAUAAUUGUAAGCAUCGGUAUUCAUAAUAGAUUUAACACAAUAAAAGUUAAGUUUUAUACCUCACUCUUUACCUUCAUCAAGUUCCCAAUCUUUAGAAUUAUGUUUAAUUCUUUCCAAAAGAUCCCAGCUGAAUUCAAUAGUCUUCUUCAUAAAAGAACCAGAACAAGAAGUAUCGAGCAUAGUUUGAUCAUUACUAGAAAGCCAAGCAUAAAAAAUCUGAAUAAUAAUUCCCCUCGGGAGCUCAUGAUUGGGGCAUGAAUGUAACAUUGACUUCAGCCUCCCCAAGCAAGAGCGAUACUUUCUCCAUCACGUGGCCAAAAAUUAUAGAUAAAAUUCCGAUCACGAUGAACAAGAUGCAUAUGAUGAUUUUUUUGCUGAAACUCCAAUUGCAAUUAACUCCGGUUCCAAGAUCCUGUGUCAUCACAUGUCCUAUACCAUAUCAAUGCUUUCCCCCAAAGAUAAAUGCAAGACCUUCUUCUUGACUUCAUCUCCAAAUAAACCUACAAGCUUAAAUAAUCACAAACUUCAUCCACAUAGAUUAGGUGCAUAUCAGGAUAUUUGUCCCAUCUCCUCCAUAAGGAUUAGCUAGCAAUUUCUCUAUCAUACCCGAAGGAAUUUCAUAAUAAACAUUUUCAGUAUGUUCAGCAGGUUGAGGGACAACUCUUGGUGUUUCCGGUCGAGGUGAAGAUCGCCAGAACGAACCCCUCAAAGGAUUACUUUCCAUAGUGAGAAGUAACAGUAAAUUUUAGCGCGUAAUAUAAAUUUUCCCUUACCAAAUUCCGCUUACCAAAGGCAUUCACUCCCCGGAAACGGUGUUGGAAAAGAGUCGUGAUGACCCACAAGUAUAGGGGAUUAAUCGUAGUCCUUUUAAUAAGUAAGAGUGUCGAACCCAACGAGGAGCAGAAGGAAAUGACAGACGGUUCUUAGCAAGGUAAUUUCUGCAAGCACUGAUAUAGCGAUAACAAGUUGUUUGACAGCAAGAUAUUUGUAACAAGUAAUGAGUAGCAAUGUUAACAAUAUGUGCAGCAAGGUAGCCCAAUCCUAUUGUGUUCAAGGACAGGGUGGAACGGUUUCUUAUAAUAGGCAAAGCGUUCUUGAGGGCACACAGGAAUUUCAUCUAGUCACUUUUGUCAUGUCGGGAUAAUUCACGUUCGGUACUUUGAUAAUUUGAUAUGUGGGUUGACCGGUGCUUGGGUGCUAUUCUUACUUUAACAAGCCUCUCACUUAUGAUUAACCCUCAGGCAAGCAUCUUCAACUACGAGAAAAGUAUAAAGAAUAAAUUCUAACCAUAGCAUUAAACAUAGGGAUCCAAAUCGGCCCCUUACGGAAUAGCAUAUAAACUGGGGUUUGAGUCUCUGUCACUCUCGCAACCCAACAUCUAAUUACUACUCCAUAAUUCAUCCCCUUGGGCCCAAAGAUGGUGAAGUGUUAUGUAGUCGACGUUCACAUAAUACCACUAAGAGAAUCACAACAUUCACAUCAUCAAAAUAUCGAACGGAUAUCAACUUCACAUGACUAAUUGCAACAUGACUUCUCACGUGGCCUCAAGAACAAAAGUAAAUACUCAUAAGUGAUAAACAUGCUCAUGAUCACAGAGGUAUUAAAUAGCAUAUUGCAUAUGAUCUUCCACCAAAUAAACCGUAAAACAUCAACUACAAGAUGUAAUCAACACAACUAGUCCCACCCCAGGUAUGAAUCUAAGGUUCUGUUUCAGAACCCCGAUCCUAAGUCAUACAAAUCUAGCAUGUAACACAUCAUAUAGAUUUGGGGCCUCACACACGGUAAACAAUGGCUGACACCUUACCUUGGCCGGACCGUUUGUGCCUUUUGUCUCAUGUAUAUGAUUAUGUCGCUAGCAUCCAUACGACAAAGAACCCCAGUCGACAGGAGUAGUUAUAAACCCAAGUGGCACAACCAUAUAGGGACAAGCAUACAUAAGCCAACAAUGCAAGUGUCAAUCAUGAGCGUGUGUAGACGAGUCAUAGAAAGCUACAAGGACUCCAUUACACUGUGUGAUGUUUCACCUUAGGGACAGGCACAACAACAAAGAAGGAUAUAUGCCAGUCAAUCAAUGUGUCCAGAGCAGUAGCAUGCUACCAAGGCUCAAUGGAAGCACAAAGAGGCAUUUCCCUGUAAAGAAGGCUACUAAAGGCGUACAAUUAAGUGUCGAAUCCCACACAUACCAAUGCAUUUCAAACAUACACGAAAUAUGCACGAUAUGUGUAGAUACAACAUGGCAUCACAACAUAACUCUACAAUAUAACAUUUAUUUAGAAGGCUCUGAAGAGCCAACAUAGUAUAAUGUUACAAGUAGGGGGGUCACAUGACCCAACAUUCACAGCAUACAAAGAACAAGCAGAAGUUACUUCUCUAGGUACAAACAUCUACUAAAAAUGGACGGAAGAGCCUAAAGAGAUACAACGACCCUACCAAAGGAGCCAUGCCUCUGUCUGGGAUUCCCAAGCUAUUCUGGUCGACAUUGAACACAUCGCAUAGAAUUAAUAGUGAGGCUAAGGUCUCAUCUACAAAAACAUAAAUAAACACUAUGACCAUGAAUUCUUUAUUUCAGGUGGGAUAGCGCAGAUGAGUCCACAUAUUCACCAAAUCAAUACACCACUAUGGAUCCUCUCCCGUCUCCCUACAAGAAGGCCAUCCAUAUCACUCACACUUAUCUUGCGCAUUUUAGAGUAUCCAUUUCAUUUGUUGAUGAACCAUAUAAGUGUCCAAGUAGUCUAUAUCCGAGGAUGCAUAUAUUCGAAUAGAUCAUUCACCCUGGAGGGCUAUACUUCUUCACACACGCUCCCGCCACUUAUCCCCAUGUGCACGUCAUGUACCCCGAGAACCUUCAAGCACAAGCUCGGCGAGGGAGUCAGACACGGACGUUAACUUACAAUGAAUCAUGCCCAAAGGUAGUCGCGUAUCUGAGUUCGAACCCAUAAUGGAAGUCCGGCCGAGGUUUCCAAUGCGGCCUCAAACGAUGUGAGCAGGGCCCCAAGACGGUCUUGACUGGGUUGUUCAUCCACUUCGUACGCCAUGCCACAACCUAUAAACGUUUUGAACUACUGUGGCUCCUGGACUGAGAAGAGGGAAGUUAAUAGGAUGAGAGGGGUCAAGUUACCGGAACCGAAUGUGCGGUAGUAUAUUGUCUUGGAACACAAAUAGAGGACCUUAGGUCCUACGAGCGGUUUCAAUGAGACAACCCACCGUGUACUCCUACAUGGCCUCUCGUCACUACCUUUACCAAACAGGAUUCACACACUUAGCUUUCACACAGAUGGACAUGGUCACAACCAUUCCAAUUCAUUGCCCACAUAGAUUAGACCCGACACAACUCUAAGCAUAGCAGGCACAGUAAGCAAGCAUGGAUGAGUAGGCACAACAAGGCUCGGACAGUUGCUACUCAUGAUAAGUGGUUUCAAAUAUUUAAUUGACAAGGACAUGUCAUGCAAAGGAGUGGGUUAACCUACGGAAACAUGUAACAGUUGAAUCUUUGUUAUCCUAAUGCUGUAAAAGAGAGCAGGAGCGAGAGAGUGAGAUUGUAUUGGAAUCCUCAAAGGGGGUUUGCUUGCUUGACAGUUCUGAAGAUAACAAUGAGUCUUCAUUGGUAUCAACGAUCACAACAUCGAGACAACGUCUACCGAGGUGAACAAACACCGGCAACAGAAAAGGAACAACAUUUAAUUCAUAGUAUUGUAACAUUAUGAUGCAUGCGCAUGACAUGGCAAUAUGAUGUUGAUUGAGCUAAUGCAUCUAGCAACAACAUUAAAUGAAGUUGGUUUUCAACCUAAGGUUCAAAUUCAAACUCCAUAUAUGGUUACUUAAAUGAUUUGUCCUGAAUAGAUGACACAUGUUGUGGUAACAUGCAUGAAAAUGCAAUAUACAAAUUCAUUUGAUUUUGUGAUAAUUUCUUGUAUAUAAAUUAUUUCAUUUGGAGCUAUGGUUGAAUUUAUAUGAUUUCUAUAAGCUUAGGUUAUUUUUUGGAUUUUUUGAGAAUUGUUUUAAUCCAGAAAAACACUAAUUGCGUCAGCAUGACAUCAUCACCGUGUCAGCAGGUCAAAUGCGCUAGGUCGAGGUCAAACCUGACCCUGGGUCCCACAUGUCAUUGAGAGAGUGUUAUAUAAUAGUUAGAUUAAAACUAAUAACUAGUUAAUUAGGGCAUGUGGACCAUUACUCAAUGUCAGUGGGGCUUAAUUAGUGGCUAAUUAUGUUCCUAACGGUCGGGGCCCAUCGGUCAGUGGCUCAGGGCGGCGAAGUCAUCGCAAGAGCCCACUCGAUUCGGCAGAGUCUGCUCCAGAGGCCCGGGAACAGCAGAGGAGGGCACUGGGGUGAAGCCCUCGGUCGUGAGUAUUUGUCAGACAGGACGCGAGGUCACGGGGUGGUCGGAGCGUGUCCCAGCAAGCACAUCUAGAUGGCGCCCACACGGACUCGACGUGGUCGCCGCUACAUAUCACGGGGAUGCCAACCGAUUAUGUUUCCAAGCUCCUAGUAAUGUUGUGAGGACAUCUCGACACAUGGUUGGGGCUGACAGGGGCUCAAGCCACAACGGCGACACACUAGGGCAGGAGGAGCUCGGGCUCGAUCCAUGGUGAGUCUACGACACCUGGGAGAGCACGGGAAGAGAGGGAAAGGGACGGCGAGAUCACGGUGGUCACAAAGAGAUGCUAGGCGUGCUCGGGGAGACCCGGACACUGGCGAAUCGACGUUGGGCAACUGCAGUGAUCGGAGGUGGAAACGAUAACGGUGAUGGUGAUGAAGGGCCCCCGGCCUCGAUUCUUUUGACGAAGAGGAGCAGCUUGAGGACUCGGAGGAGAUGAGAAUCUCGGGGUGGUGGGGAAACUAUGGUGGGCGUGGUGGCAAUGUUGGUGUGCUCUCGGCUGUGGGCGCGUGCAAGAGAGAGAGGCUAGCCAGGAGACGGAGAGAGCGAGAUUGAGAGAAGGCAUGCAUGGGAGGGAUUCACGGCGUCCUUAUCGCCCUCCACGCGGUCGGCGGCAAGCACGACAUGUCCAUGGCCCGUGCCUGCGAGGCACGACCACUCGCGUGGGGAGGAAGGCGACAGGGGGAGCUCAGGUGGGCUCGGCCAGCAGUUAGCGCAGGUAAGCCAGGUGAGAUCUCUGCCUUUUCUAUUUUGUUUUUGUCUUUUCUAUUUUUAACAUUUGUUUUGGUAUGAAAAAAAUUAUAAAACCAUUUCAUAAAACCCGUGAGAAAAAUAUAUGUGGAAAGAUGGACUUGUCCAAAGCCACACAAUAAUUCUCAGUGUUUUUGGACAUAGAUUUAGUAUAUAUUAAAUAUAUAUCCAAUGAAAAUAAUUGUUGGGUUAAUCAAAUGUCCAAAAUAAAAAUAAAAUGUGAAUCCAAAAAUAUUUGUUUUGAAAUUUACCUCAUGCUAAUAUUUUCUUAGAACAGGAGGGACAUUUUCUUGGAUCUCUUUGAGACAAUUUUAUAUUCCUUAUUUGAGAGAAAUUUGAUUCUGAGGCUUGAUCAUUCCUCAUUUCAAUUUCAAUUGUAUUUAAAAAUACAUGCGUUAAUUAAAUGGCAAGCAAGGUUAAACUAGGAUUGUGACAACUAAUUGUCUACACAAUCUUCUAUUCUUGUAGACUAUGUUGGGCCUCCAAGCGCAGAGGUUUGUAGGACAGCGGCAAUUUCCCUCAAGUGGAUGACCUAUGGUUUAUCGAACUUAGGGAAGUAGAGGUUGAAGAUGGUCUCUCUCAAGAAACCAUGCAAUUAAGAAACCAGAAGUCUCGUGCCCAACACACCUAAUACAAUGUUAAAUUGUAUAGGUGCACUAGUUCAGCGAAGAGAUGGUAAAAUAUGGGUGAUAGGUGUGGCAAAGCAAGGUAAUAUAAAUCUAUAAUAAAAAUUACAGCAAGGUAGCAAGUGACAAAAGUGAGCAUAAAUGGUGUAACAAUGGUGAGAAACAAGGUCUAGGCUUCAUACUUUCACUAGUGGCAACUCCCAACAGCAUUAACAUAGUCUAAUCCCAUGAUAUUUCCACUAAAACAGGCAAUGGAGACAUACUCGGAGGUCAUUCCUUUGUGAUCAAGAGAGGACAAGAAUUAUGUAGCACACCUCAGAGUUCGUAGUUCUCAUCUAUGGAUUCCCCAAUGUCACUGCGACCAUCCAAAGAGAGUACCACAAUCACGUAUCUCAAGGAUAGUCAAAGACAAGCACCAAGAGACUCUCAAUCUUCAAUCAAUUCACAAAAGAGGAAAUUGCUCAUGAAAAUAUUCUUCUAAUUCAUGUCCAAUAGACCGUUGUCACCAUGGUGUCGGCGAUUAUACUAGAUAAGAUCAAGUGAGUACAUCAAUCUAAUACAUAGAAGAAGGGGAAACAUCAUGGGAUCACCCUAGGUUCACAUAGCCUAUGAUCACAAUCAAGAUCACAUCAUGGGAGAGAGAAUUAACCACAUAGCUACUUUAGAAGAUCUCAGCCCCGAGGAGGAACUAUUCUCGCUUCAUGGAGGGGGGAAGCAACGUUGAUGGAUUUGAAUCCGGGGGCACUUCCCCGUCCCGGCAGGGUGCUGGCACAUGAAUUCUGGUCCCCCAAAACUUGUUGGCGAUGAAGGCAAAGAUCGGAAUUGCUUCUGGAGAAAACGGUUCCGGAAUCAGCGUUCCCUCCACGGGGGUAAAAAUAGGAGCCCAGGUAGGGCACCAGAGGGGGUGGGCCCCACCUAGGCGGCCUCCCUAUGCGGCUAGGGGGAAGGUCGCGCCACCAGGGCGCUUGGAGGCCUGGUGCCCCCCACUCUAGCCCACCUUCAGCCGUCUCGAGUCUUCUGGAACGCUUAUUUUUUUUAUAUUUUUUGUGGAAUUUUUCGGGCACUGUAAAUAUGGGUAUAAACCUGCAAUUCACAGAUAUCAGCAGACAUAAACUAGCACUAGGUGCACUGAGUUAUUAGGUUAGUCAAAAUAUGUUGAAAAAGGUACAAAAGUGUACAAAACACAUAGCAAUGUCACCCAAAACUUGAUGGAGCAAGCAGAAAUUAUAGAUACGUUUCGGACGUAUCAACAUCCCCAAGUUUAAUUCAUGCUCGUCCUCGAGUAGGCAAAUGAUAACACAAAUAAUUUCUAUGGUGACAUGCUAAUACACAUAUAAGAACUUCAAAGUAAAGAAAGUAAGAUAUGCAAUUCAAGUCAAGACAAUAACAAGCAAGAGUCCAUAUCUAGUAUUGAAACUAGCAAAGUAAGAACAUAAAGGUGCAAGAGCUCUCGUUGUCCGUAACUCGAAUGUCUCCAAAUGGUUUUUGCGUGCAAGAAGUGGGAGAUGGGUUUAGAGUAUAAAAAUAAUAUAUAGUUUAAUUGAGAACUCAAUCUACUAAAACUUCACACUUGGUGUUCUUCUGAAUCUUAUUUUGACUCAUCCACGGACCACUAGUUAGGCACAAGUCAAAAAGAUCCUCUCGCUUUCGACUUUGAGAACUCAUGCAAUGGAUGAGCGCAAUAAAGUAUUGUUGUCACUUAGGAUGGCAAAGAGAAUAAUGAUGGGGAAGGAAGACAAAAAAGGUAUAAAAGUGUAACGCCCAAGGUGCGAUCCUAUCCUUAUUUUGGCGCGAGGGCCUCGACAGGGAUAGAAGCGCAUGUCGUCGUUUCGCAAGACUAGAUAUCGUUACAAGUACAUGUACUGAAGAGAAAAUUAUAUGGAAUUGGCUUACACUUGCCACAAGCUACAUCAGAGUCACAUCAGUACAAUACAUAAAUAUCAUGAAGAAGAGCAGGGUCCGACUACGAACAAAAAAAAAACGAUGUCCAUCCUUGCUAUCCGAGGCUGCCGGCCUGGAACCCAUCCUAGAUCGAUGAUGAAGAAGAAGAAAAUCCAAAUGAACAAUCAACGCGCUCACGUAAAAUAAUCCUUUACCUGUACCUGCAACUGGUGUUGUAGUAAUCUAUGAGCCAGAGGGGACUCAACAAUCUCAUUUCCAAAGGUAUCAAGACUAUCAAAGCUUAAAAGGUGACGUAUGGUUAAGUGGUGAGGCUGCAGCAAGUGAGUAAGUAUUAUAUGAGGUGGCUAACUUACGAGUCCAAGAAUAAAAAGGGGGAAGAUAUACGCAUAGCGGACGUGAACUAAUGAUGAUCAAAUGAAUGAUCCUGACAUUUUACAGGUGGUAGGCAGUGAGACAUAAUGAUAGAAACGAUAAACUAGCAUGGCAAUGAUAGUAAUGGUAUCUGGGGAAAUGGUCAUCUUGCCAUAGAUCCCGCUUGGAAGAAGAAUGACUCCAUUAAGCAGACGAAUCGAUGUAGUCGAACGGGUCCUCACAUUCCGACACGCUUGCGGAACUCUAACGAGACGAAGCAAACCGGAAACAAGAAUCAAUACACGAUAUUCAGCACACGAUGCACAACACAAAUGAUGCAUGAGCGGUUUAAUGCAAGGCAUGACAUGGCAAUUCACAACAAUCAAACACUACACAUUAAGUGAAGUGCAUAUUGAUGUUGCAUAUUGACGAAACUCCACAUACGAAUUAUUUAGUUCUAUCCUGAUUUGGUACACAACAAUAUUAAAUGUUAUUAAACAUGGCAAGAGGUUAAGCGUUAUAAAACUACCUAUCUAGGCAUUUUAAAUGAGGUCGGAAAUGGCAUAUAGCAUCUUCGAGAUGACCCCAUACGUUAAUUUAUAAUUCUGUCAAGAUCUAAACUAACACGUUUAAAUAUUUUUUAAACAGAAAAAUAAAUAGGUUCACAUGAUUCUACGUGUCGUUCCAAUCAAUUAACACAUAGAGAACAUCUCCAACGGAGCUACGGUUCAAAAGAUACGAACACCGCAAGAUAUGAUGGCAUGAAUGCAAUAUGUGUGCAACGGCAGUCACAAGCAUUCCAAACCAAGAAGGCAGCAACAUAUUAUGAAACUACACGAGAUUCUAAGCAAGUUUUAUGUAGGACACAUUCAAAACGGAGCAACGGUUCAACAACUACGAGCUAAACAAGAAAUCGUUACAAUCUGCCCAAAACAGCAACAUGGCAUUUUCUACACGCUAUAACAACGAGCUCCAUAAGUCCAAAAUGCUCAAACAAGACAUGAGGCAAUAGUGGCCAAGAUGCUCUACAACAUACUACUAAUAACAUCUAACAUGGAUGCAUGGAUCACUAGGAAAAGAACUCCAAAAAUGGCAUCUCACACACAGUUUCAGACUUAGUGGAAAUAUCAGUUUUGACAAUGCAGUUUUCAAUCUGAAGGCAUAUGGACAGCAGAAAAACUGUAUUCUACAGGACUCCGAAUGGCAUGAAAAUUACAGCAUGUUAGGGAAUCUUAAGGACUACAACUAACUCCAUUGCACCAACCUCAAAAGAGUUAUAGAUCACCAUAUAAACUCAUGGCAUGAUAGCAACGAAGUAUAAUAGAUUUCAGACUUAGAAAUAUUUCAGCAUCUUCAAAUCUGCACUAUUUUCUAGCAUGUUGGCAACAAGCGAACAACACCUAAACAUGGAUUUCUACUGCAACCAAAAUUACUAGGGGCUAGCAUACAUAUCCAAGGGCAUAUCUCUAGUUAACAACUCAUUCAUAUCAUGCACGGAUUAAAUCCUACAAAAUAAACAAAAGGGCAACAUGGCAAAAAUAUCACGUGCACUAACUUUCUCAAAAGCUAAAACUAAAUGCAUAGUUAAAUUCUAUGGAUUUUUCUACCCCAAAAACAUGUAUAAUAUGUGGGGUUGCAAAAUAAAACUAACGUCACACAUAUAUGCGAGAUAUGUCCUAAACACGACAUAGCAAAACUAUUGACGGCACCUACAUGAAAAAAUGCAAACAACUACUCUAAAAUACAUGGCAAACGGGCACAACCAACAUUAACAUUUAAAUUACGGGUUUUGAACAAUCCGGACACGCGCAAAAAUAAAUACGGGAUAUCUAACAUAUUAGGACAGCACGCAAAUCUAGGCAAACGGCGGGUCAAACUACUCCAAACAUGCAUGCAAGUUGUAAAAUCAUAAUCUACACGAAAUUCUAGUCAAGUUACAUAUCUAACUUGUCGCAAUCCGACGCACGGUUUAAAAGGUGCUGCUGUUUUUUAAAAACAUGUUAUUUCUGAAUCUAGCAAAUUCACAGGAAAUAAUGAACAUAGGCCGAAUUGCAACAGCUUGAAGUGGCCCAUUAGAGGAUUCAGCCCAAGUGGUUUUGCACACAGAAGACAAAAAUACCAACAGAAAGAACCGAGGCUUCCCUGGGAUUCGAUCCCAGUACCUCUCUGGUGCAGACGAAGGCACCAACCAGCCGAGCUACAAUCAGCUGUGAUAAGGCAUGGGUUUCAACCAAUAUGAAAGUGCAUAAGGAACCAACCUGAAGUAAAAACAAACCAAAAAUAGGGGUGAAUGGGAUUCGAACCCUAGAACUCUUGGUUGCAACCUAGCAGUGCUAGCCAGCUCGGCUAUGCACGAUCUCUGAGACAAAAUGUAACUGCAUACUAGACUACACAUGCAUCAAAACAGAUCUGAAAUCAAAAGAAGCCUUCGGCCAUGGUUGUGAGCUUCUCACCAGCGAGAUCGGGAAGGACAGGGGAAGAGGCUCCAACAGCGGGGGCUAGGUUAGAGCUUGGGGAUGGGGUACUGGGUCACGGAUCCAUCCAAAGGGCACCGGAUCCAGACAAAGUUGGGGGGGGGGUUCCACCGCACAGAGCUCUAUCGACGUCAUGAGCGCACCUACACCUCCUGCUCUCCCUGUUCUCUUACAGAAAAGAGACAAAGCUGCAAAUAUUAGAGGGAGCAGAGGAAAAAAGGAGGGAGGAGAAGAGAGGGCAAAGGGGAGGCGCGGCCAGGACCAGCUGCACUCCUACGUUGCGCUCGCCAGCAGAUUGGGGGGGGGGACGAAACUGCAGCUCGGGUACCUGAAUUGCUCUUGGAGAACUCUUGCACGAGAGCUCCUUCCCCGUGUUGACAGCUGCGCCUACUGUUGCGAGAGGAUGAGGGAGGUCGGGGACGGCGGUUGCGUGGGCUGCGGCCUGGAGGCGUCUGCGGGGAGCACGGGAGGCUGCUGCUCCUCGACGACGGGUUAGGGCAUGAGGGCACGCGAGGCUGCUGCGGCAACUCGUGCAGAUGAAGGCUGCUGAAGAUUGGAUCAGGGAUUUGUUGGAAAUAUGCCCUAGAGGCAAUAAUAAAAUGGUUAUUAUCAUAUUUCCUUGUUCAUGAUAAUCGUCUAUUGUUCAUGCUAUAAUUGUAUUAACAGGAAACAGUAAUACAUGUGUGAAUAAAUAGAUCACAAUGUGUCCUUAGCAAGCCUCUAGUUGGCUAGCUCGUUAGUCAAUAGAUGAUCAUGGUUUCCUGAUCAUGGGCAUUAGAUGUCAUUGAUAACGGGAUCACAUCAUUAGGAGAAUGAUGUGAUGGACAAGACCCAAUCCUAAGCAUAGCACUAGAUCGUAUUGUUCGUAUGCUAAAGCUUUUCUAAUGUCAAGUAUCUUUUCCUUCGACCGUGAGAUUGUGCAACUCCCGGAUACCGUAGGAGUGCUUUGGGUGUAUCAAACGUCACAACGUAACUGGGUGACUAUAAAGGUGCACUACGGGUACCUCCGAAAGUGUCUGUUGGAUUGGUACGAAUCGAGAUCGGGAUUUGUCACUCCGUGCGACGGAGAGGUAUCUCUGGGCCCACUCGGUAGAACAUCAUCAUGAGCUCAAUGUGACUAAGGAGUUAGUCACACGAUGACGUGCUACGGAACGAGUAAAGAGACUUACCGGUAACGAGAUUGAACAAGGUAUAGGUAUACCGACGAUCGAAUCUCGGGGAAGUUCUAUACCGACAGACAAAGGGAAUCGUAUACGGGAUUGAUUGAAUCCUUGACAUCGUGGUUCAUCUGAUGAGAUCAUCGUGGAGCAAGUGGGAGCCACCAUGGGUAUCCAGACCCCACUGAUGGUUAUUGGCCAGAGAGGUGUCUCGGUCAUGUCUGCCUGUCUCCCGAACCCGUAGGGUCUACACACUUAAGGUUCGAUGACGCUAGGGUUAUAGGGAAUUGUUAUACGAGGUUACCGAAAGAUGUUCGAAGUCUCGGAUGAGAUCCCGGACGUCACGAGGAGCUCCGGAAUGGUCCGGAGGUAAAGAUUGAUAUAUAGGACGGAUGGUUUCGGAUACCGGAAGUGUUUCGGGCAUCACCGGUAACGUACCGGGACCACCGGGACCACCGAAGGGGGGCAACGACCCCGGGAGGUAAGGUGGGCCAAGUGGGGGUGGGAACCAGCCCCUAGGUGGGCUGGUGCGCCUCCCCACUCAGCCCAAUGCGCAGGGGAGAGAAAAGGGGGGCAAACCCUAAGCGAGGUGGGCCUAAGGCCCACCAGAUGGUGCGCCACCCCCUCCUUCCCCCUCUGGCCGCCGCACCUCCCAUCUGGGGGGCUGCCGCACCCCCUAGGGUGGGAACCCUAGGGGUGGCACCUCCUCUCCCCUCCCCCUAUAUAUAUCGGGCACUUUUGGCCAUUGAGAGAAAGUUUUUUCCCUCUCCCUCGGCGCAGCCCUGCUCUUCUUUCUCCUCCUCUCUGCCGGUGCUUGGCGAAGCCCUGCCGGGAGACCUCGUCUCUCCAUCGACACCACGCCGUCGUGCUGCUGGAGUUCUUCCCCAACCUCUCCCUCCUCCUUGCUGGAUCAAGGUGUGGGAGACGUCACCGGGCUGCACGUGUGUUGAACGCGGAGGUGCCGUAGUUCGGCACUAGAUCGGAAUCGCUGCGAGUACGACUCCAUCAACCGCGUUCUAGCAACGCUUCCGCUUAGCGAUCUUCAAAGGUAUGGAGAUGCUCUUACCCCUCUCUCGUUGCUGGUCUCUCCAUAGGAAGAUCUGAAUAUGCGUAGGAAAUUUUUGAAUUUAUGCUACGUUACCCAACAGGAUUUCCACUGGCUGCAAGGGGAUUAGCCAGUCACGCAAAACAAGGCAGGUGGAGUUCGGCGGCGGUUAGGAGGAUCCCUAGAAAAUAGAGUUUGGUCUAACUUUAGUAGGGGUCUAUUUAUAUAAACAAAGCGGGUUGGGUUCGGACCCUUCGAUCUCGAUCGGAUGGUCGAGAAAGAUAGGUUAGGAGAGCCAAUGGACACACCGAUGAAGGUUUGCAGUAAAACGGGGUGGAUCCGGAUCAAACGAUCACGACCGCCGAUUUCAGGAACCGAGAUGUUUUCGGACCGGGCUACGCGUAGGUCAGUGCACUAUGCAGAGGGGCUACACUACUAGAAAUAAGGUCAAUUAUGACUCCUUAUAUUGGUCAUUGAUUCAUCAUUGUUGUUGUUUAUUGACCUUUUUUUGACCAAAUUUACAAGGUCAAAGUUGGCCGUCAAGAAUGAACUAACUUGACCUUUCUAAAAUUUUGGUCGUAGAUCUAUAUUGACCAAAAUUUUGGUUUGGUCAUUACCCAUUUGUGUGCGCCACGUCGGAUCUGACGUGGGUGUGCUGACAUGACAUUGCUAGUGACCAAAUGGAAUCAUCAUAAAUUUCACAGCCCAAUUCAAUAAUCUAGUCUAUAUGGGCCUCCACCAAUAUUAUUUUAUUAUUAAAAUGUCUAAAUUGUUUAGGCUGAUGCAUUAUUUUGCCAAAAGCAUGUAUAUCUCAGGAUAGGCCCAUUAGAAAACAAGUACAAGAUUGCAAAUUAGUUAUAUAUAUUUCAUUUCAGUAGCACAUCACAUGAAUUACAAUACAUCAUCCAUCGACUCCUCUACACAUAAAGGUUCAAGGCCCAACAAGUGCACAAUAAAAUCGUUCUAUAAGUGCAGAUGUACAGCAAAAGGGCCCACAAGUGCAUAAUCACACAUCAACAUAGUUCGACAAAAAAUGAAUGAGAAGCACAAGUUUUUGUUGAUAAAACAUAACAUCAAUGAUAAACGAAGCUUCUUGUUCCCUCCUCAUGUCCUGUCCUCUACUUCUUCUGGGUGCUUCAGAUCAUCCUGAUAAUUAAAAUAAUCAAACAUAAGAAAGCAUACAAAAUAAUCAAAUAUUAUAAUGUACAAGUAAUAAAUAAAUUAGAACUAUUUCAUCCUCCAACAAUGGUAGUGUAUUGACCUCUGACUAUGCGUAUGUUUGCAAGCUUACACAUCGAAUCUAAACUUAUAUCAAUUAAUGAAAGCUGAAAUGUUUCUGGGAUAAUAGGCAUCACAACAAAAGCAAAUUCGACAAAGUUUCCUUACAAAACCAACAAAGUUCAGUAUAAGCAAAUUGGACAAAGUUUCCUUACAAAACCAACAAAGUUCUGUAUAGCCAUAUCCUUAGCCCACAAGUAACAUUCAGGCUUCAGUGCGAUAUUAGAGAUCACAAGAGCAUUAGCUUAAUGCACAAAUGAGAUAUACAUAUUAGAUACAUCACGUGGAUUUUAAUUAUCAAGAUCGAUUAGAAGACCGUAGAAGAUUUCUAAUAAAAAACCAGCAAGUACAUAAAACCAGCACAACCACGUCCAUUAAAAAAUCAAUCAUAAUAGGUAAAACAAUUUUUCAAGUAUUAGGAUAUACUCUACUAUUUAAUUUGAUACAUGAUAGAUACAUUCUGAAUGAAGUAUAAGAUUGUACUUAAUAAUAAAGUUAAGGAAGGACUAUUUUCCAAUGCACUAAAAAGGAAUGCAGAUUAUGUAGAUGAGAAAAAUAACAUAUCUAGCAAAGAGUAGUGUGUAGAAUAAUAUUUCAAAACACUAGGUACCACUUCUGAUAAUAUAAGUUUAUAUAAUAUUUUCUCAAAGGAAAUUCAAGGAGAUGGCUUUGUAGCAUUAUAAUAGCAUGUUACUAAAAUGUGCCUAAUUUUGGUACUGGUCCAAGGGUGGACAUAAACUUUGUUGUUCUGGCUAGGAAGGUUCAAUCGAUAGAAAUAUAUUAGUAUUUCCAUGCACACAUCAUAUGUGUCCAAAAAAGUUGAUAUUAUUUGCCAAAAUUCCAUUGUAGUUGUAAAUUUCGUUGCAACGAAAUCUGUUGUUUCUGAUUCUUAAUCUAAGAGUUACUGCAAUACUUAAAUUUAAAUAUACACAUCUCUAAUAUUUGGGUCAAAUUGGACAUCAUUUCAAAUAUAUGCAGGGUGGCACUUUGUAUCAAUUCUAGAAUGAUAUAUAAAAUAUUUUAGUAUAGAACUUAGCAUGUGCAGCACGUUCUACCAUAAUAUAGAUUGUAUAGUUUUUAUUUGUACAUAUAUUUGAUUUCUCUUUAAAAAUGAAUGUGAAAAAUUACAUGAAUUGCACAAUAAUUUUAAGAUACACAAUUCUCUAGCCCAUGUUGAUGCACGGGUUGAUGACUAGUAUACCUAAUUGAGUUACAUUGGAUAUGAAAUGGAACUGCAUACUUCUAUAUCAUACUACACACAGCAAACUUGCAACCGGGACACUCACCCGGUUAUAGACGAGGCCGGCCGUCACUACUGCCCAAUGUUUGUUGAGGCAUCUUUGCAUGCCCUUUCUGCCAUGUAGUAAAACUACUGCUGCUUGUAUACGCGGACACCACCACUGGCAAGGAAGCACGACGAGGCCACAAUGGAUGGAAUCAUAGCGAAUCCAAAGGGAGUUGUGAGGAAGGAAAGGAUAUCAAAAAUCAAGCCACGACAAUAGGUACAAAGAAAGUAGUACCUUCGGAACACAAGGAAUCAUACACUAAAUAAUGCAAGGGUUGAUACAUUAGAUAAUGGAAACAAUUGUAGCCAUAUACUUUACUUCUAAAGAGCACAAAUACGAUGUCACAGACAUGGCAGCAUGCUUACAGGGACACCUUCACUCUCACCCAUCGGAUGAUUAGCUACCAGCAAUUAAACACAAAAAAUGAGAAAGAAAAGCAGCCCUCCAGGUUGUCCACCUUCACUCUCACCCAUCAGAUGAUUAGCUACAGCAGUGGCACCGCUCUCAGAUGCAAUUUUCCCUAACAUGAAGCACCAUGCAUUCAAUCAGCAGCGACAAGCCAACAAUAAUCAAGCAGCACACAUGAACACCAAGAUUCAAUCAAUGGCAGUAGCACAUGAACAACAUACAGAAGCAUAUGGCGAGCAGCAACUACAAGGGCAUGGCUAUUGGCUAACAGGGGAUGCAAGCAGUAGCAGUUCAAUAAUAAAUCUAAGCAAAUAGAAGUCUAGGUUACCUGCUCCAGCUUGCUUGCCAUUGGAAGGAGAUGCUGCUGCACUUGUGGGACGACAGCGGUCAGGUCCAAGCACCGGCCGUGACACCUUACGACAGUGGCGCUCAGGUCCAGAAGCUGGGAAAGGAUAAGGGAAACCCAAUUUCAUGGCUUCAAACUGGUCGAGGAGGUCUCCUUUUGUGCACCAGUGGAUGUGAGCUGCAAAAUCAGGCUUGGGCCGACCCUUAAAGAAUCUGCACACAAAAAUGAAUCCAUCUGCAGUUUGUUUAACCAGGUUUGUACUCGGACAAAAACAAAUGUUGUGCUACUCUGUGUGCUCCUCCCUAAGAAUGUACCAUGGAACAUUACGCAUGCAUCCAUUGCAGACCAGAAGCAUCGUUUAUGAGAGGAAAUAUAGCAGGUACUUCACCACACACAAAUCCAAAGUAAAAAACUGCAAGAUAGCAAAUAGCAAUUGCAUAUGAUAAUACUAUCACGAACAGUAGCUUCCUAGGUAUACCGAUCUGAUCCAGUGUGGAGUAGAUUCUCAAUUCGUGCAUCUUUCUAUAGGAGUAGGAUGAGGAGGAGAUAGAAGUACCUGUUGAUGCCGGGAAGCUGUACUCCGAGGUCGAGGAGGCCGGGAAGCGGCGCCGGUCGGGGAUGUCAGGUAUCCGCUACUAGGAAACGUCCUGGCAAGGACGAGGACGAUGUUGGUCACGUCCUCCUCAUGGUCAUCUUCGCCUUCGUGAUAGAUAAAGCGUGAACGAGUAGUAGGAGAUGGCGCGGAGGCACUGCAACGCGGCGGCGCACUCAACCACAUUCAAGUACAUAUGGGGUGUCGCCUGGAUCUGGCUGGUACCACCACGAUGCAGUCACACGCUUGACCACCGGCGGUGAAUCGAUGCGUUCCCUGAUGCGGUGGAGAAGUCACAGAAGAAGCAGGGGAAGUGGAGGAUGGCGGCGAGAUUAUGCGAGAGGCUUCUUGCCGGCGGAGGGUUGCUGGGUCACAGGAGGGAGCGGUGGCGGCUCACGUGGAGAGAGGGAGAGAGAUGGGUGUGUGGUUGUGGCGGCUGCGCUUACGAGAGGAGGAGGCAGCGCCCACUUGUAAACCCUACCAAAUUCCUCCUUAGCGUUUUUCUUCUUGCUUUUUUCCAAGCCGCCCAUUUGAAUUUUUUUAGUGGAAAGCAAAAAAAAAUUGCAAGGGUAGUGGAAAGUAAAUAAAUGUUUUUUGGGAAUAUUAGUAGAAAAUAAAUAUUACAUUUAUCCAUUCAUUUCAUGUUGAUCGGCUCCAUCUCAUGUUGACCACACGCACAUAUAGCUUUAUAUGUUACGGUAUGGCUAAACAUAAAUCUAGUGCAAAAUGUGAAUUAACACAUUUUGUUGCGUCUGUGCGACUCAAAAUAAAACAUACAAUUAGUAUAUUUUCAUUUAAAAAAGAAUACUACAAAUUUUUGUUGACAUAUAUAUGAAUGUUGUUUUGAAACUAUUAAUUUAAACUUCAUUUAUUUAACAUAUAUUUUAUGUGGCUAAGAGUGGACCAAGUUUGGGUGUCCCGUCCAUGGGUUGGCAAGUAAGUUAAUUGGUCCCACACGUCGUACAUGGGACCCACUAGUUGGCUCGGUCAACAAGUUAACACAUUUUUGCCAUAAGACCGUGUAAGUUAUACUCAUCAACCCAUUAGCAUGUACCCUUACAAAAAUUAGCAUGUAGGCAAAUUGGCAUCUAUACAUGACACAUGGACAGAAAAUUGACACGUAUACACGCCACGUAGGUGAGAAUCUGCCUACUCACCUUUGUUCAUGUAUUUGACCUUAAUUUGGUCACGUGGACUCAAAAUAAUAUCAUAUAUAGUGUUGCACACACUAAUGACCAUUCCGGGCAGUGAGAUUAUGACCUUACUAACUCGAAAGGUCGUAAGAUUCAAGUGUUUGAACCCUCCCAGACCAUACAUGACCAAUUUGUGAAUUUUGGUCAUAGAUCUAUGACCAUUUAGACUGUCGUCGAUAUUUUUUUCAUAAAUGAGCGUUUUUCUUGUAGUGCUAGGCGGGGAUGAGAGGGAAAAGGCAACCCGGCGAUAGAGUUUAAUUAUGUCACGGGCGCGUGCGUGUGUGGCCGGACUCAAAACGGGCAACGACGAAAAACGGAGAGAACUGGCAACUAAUAACGGAUGCAAGUUUUGAAAACUGACGACAACGGAGUGCCGAUGCAAUGCAAAUGAUGCGCAUGAUGCAAUGACGAUGCGACAAUUAAAAUAAUCACACGGCAGCAACGGAAUAAAAGGGGAAUCUUAUGGAGCGUCGGUCUCAGCCUGUCACAACUUGUAAUGCCCCAAGAGUGUAACUUGCCUUAUUUGGAACCUUCUAUAUGCGGGUCCAUCUUGUCAUUGCAAUGAGAGAUCAAUGCAUGUGUUAUUUCAUGUGUCACCUUGUUUUUGUUUUCCUUUGCAUGCAUCCAUUCCAUUCAUCCAUGCCUCUUUGUAUUUGUUGUUCUUGUGAUCCAUGUUGUGGUGUGUGUGGUGGUGUGCUAAGGCACAUGAACAUGAGGUCUACCCCUCAUGUGCACCGUUGGUUAUGUGAGAGUGUGCAAGUGGAGGUGUAGGUGAUAACCUAGUGAGAAGCACAUGUGAUGAUGCACUAUUCACCUCUAUGUGAUUCCAUGCUCAUUUUCUUCUUAGCCUUGUGCCCAAUUGUUCUAUGCAAGUGCCUAUGUAUUAUAUAUGUUUUUGGGGUAGAAUAAUCCCAAGAAUCCAAUGGUGGGUUCAGAUUCCACUUUGGAACACUUUCUGAGAAUGUCAUAUUUCUGUUUUGUUCAAUGUUUAGAGCUUGGUUUCAUGUGAUGUGAUGAGCCCAAGAGGUUGAUUCCUUGUUGUGGCAGUAGAGGGUGAACCAUUCUAUAGCAUGGUGGUUUUGUUUCAUGCUUAGGAAUUCAUAUGUGCAAGUUGUGCCUAGUCAAAAUAGGCAUGUGCUGAAAUUCCAGUUUAGUGAAAAUCUGUGAUUUUCACUAAGUGUGAGAAACUGCUCUUAUUUUCUUCCCUUGUAGUUGUGCUUGUAGAAGUUUAUGUGUUGGGAAUCUGGCCCUGCAAUCAACUGAGAAGUUGUAGCUUUUGUGUUUUUCUAGCUCUUUGUCAAUUUUCAUUCCAUUUGGCUUCCUGUAGAUAUUGUUUUGGGAUCUGUCAAAAUGCUUCAGAGCAUAAACAGCUAGUGAGAAUCUGAGAUUUUCACUAAGUCCCUGAAAACUGAUAUUUUUGUCCAAGUUAGCAGCUGUAGAACUUUCUGUGUGAAACUCCUUUUUAUUAUCUUUUUUCUCAUGCUUGUAGAGCUUUUGAAUAGCUUCUGCCACAUAUCUUAUUUGGCACAUUUGGGUGGAUGUAGGUGCUUUGCAUGUAGCUCUCAAACUGCUAUGAUGUUGUUUAGGACAGAAUGUAAAGUUUUGAUGUUUUGAUGCUUCUGAGUGCAGAGUUGAUGUUGUGGUGAUAUUACUUGCACCACCCCAUCCAUACUUGUUUAUUUUGUGAUAUGGCAACAUGGGAAUACCAUAAGUAUGCCAUUGGAGUGUGUUGUGAUGGAUUUGAUCCAUAGGACUCCAUUUCUUGUUUCGUUGUUUCUGGUUGAUCCGUAGCUCCGUUUGUAACGUUCUUUAUAUGUUUUUGCAUCUUUUUCACGUGACGCAUCUGUUCAUGUCAUUCUCAUGCAUGUCAAGAUAGCUUAGACUGCAGUUCUGUCCAGAAGUUGUAUUUUCUUCUCAUGCAUGUGCAAGUAGCUAGAAUAGAGAUGCAUGUUCAUUUUCAUCUCAUGCAUCAUGUGUGUGUUGCAUCUUGUUGUGUUGUUGUUCAUUUGGAUGCUAUUCUUAUGUUGGGUGGCACCGGGAUCAGAGAGCGAGUACGUGGAUCCGGGAGAGUACAUGCAGGACGAACAAGAGCAGUUCCAAGCUGAGGACAUCACAGGCAAGAUGAUAUGACCUUGAUUCCAUCUCUAGACUUGUUAUGCUAGAUUCACGUUUCCUUCAUCUUAUGCUCGCUGCCUACGACUGAAAUAAUUGCCUCCUGAUAUUGCCAUAAAACCUAAACACUUUUCCCCUCCUAGCAAAUAUUGAAUGGCUAAGUAGGCAUGCUCAGCUACUAAUGUUAGUGUUGCUAGUUGCAGGUGCAAUUGUGUCAUGUGAUAACAUGAGUUUGAUAUCAUUAUGUUAAAUCUGUUAUUUAAUUAAUGCACCUAUAUACUUGGUAAAUAAAGGAAGGCCUAGCCUUUUGCCGGGUGUUUUGUUCCGUUAUUGCCGCCAUAGUUUCCGGCUACCAGUGUUUGAUUCCAUAACUGAUCGCUCCUAACACGUUCGGGGUUGUUAUGGGACCCCCUUGAUAAAUCGUGUAGUGUUAAGACUUGUCCGGCAGGACCCAGCAUUGGUGUUAAUUUGCUAAUCACUUAAUAAUAAUCUGCAUAGGGAAUAGCUACCCCGAGGAAUUAAUCAACAAUCCGGGCCAGUGCUCCUCAUGUGUUGGUCCGAAUUGAGCAGACUAUGGGGCCACCACAGGGCAACCUGAGGUUUGGUAUACCCGUAGUGUAACUCAUCCGUCGUGUCCUGAGACUGAGAUACGCGACUCUUAUCGGGGUCGUCGACACGAUGGGAGGUCCCGGUAGUCUUGUCUUACCUUAGCGAUAUAUCUUGCGUAUAGGAAUCUCGGUGAAGCUUUGGUUCUCCCGAGAGUUCAGGUUUUCCUCUAAGGAAUCCGACGAGAUCACGAGAUUCGUGAUAGAGGAUUACUUUGCGGCCUGUGACCGUUUGUGAUGGACUAGUUGGAGCACCCCUGCAAGCCGUGCCCGCGGUUAUGUGGCAACUUGGAAUAUUUGUUAACAUCCGGUUAUAGAAAACUUGAACCUAAUCUAAUAAAAUUGCCAACUGUGUGCGUAACCGUGACUGUCCCCUUCGAAGACCUCUCUUCGUUCGGGAACACAGUGGGGUUAUGAUUGACGUAAGUAGGCGUUCAGGAUCACUUAUUGAUCAGCUAGUAUUCGCCCGCUAGUAUAGGCCACAUCAAUGACUUGUUCUAUGUAAGUUAGCCAUCGUAAAUGCUUAGGAUGCGGCAACCUAAACACUGAACCUUCCUUACCUAAUAACUUGUAUUAUUGCUGAGUCCCCGUGGCUCAAAGAUUACUUCAACACACCAACAGGUACAGGUACGCCCGACACAGGUGAUCUCGAUGGCACGCAGCUGGAGUGGCAGUAUGAUGAGGAGAACGACCAUUUGUAUGUGAACUAUCCAGAAUAUUGAGGCGUGGUUGUGAUCGUGGGCAAGCUUGCAGGGUAGCAUAGCCUUUCUCAUGUUUUGUAGUCCGUAGCAGGAACUACCUUGUCUAGAUAAAUGUGUGAUGUAAACUUUGAUAUUAUCUAUUAGAUGGCAGAUGAAUCCCUAUUUGUCAUUCUAUAGUUAUGUAUGUGCUAUGUUAUCGUGCUUGCGAAACGCUUAGAUGCGCUUCUUUCCAUUUUGGGGCCUCGUUCCCUAAAUCGGAAAGGACCGCAUCUUAGACUUUACAAGUUGGUAUCAGAGCAUUACGACCAUAGGAGCCUUUGUGUGAUCAUACUUGGCCGAGUCGAGUCUAGUAAAAUAUUUUGAGUCUUAGUUAUAUUGGAGAUUAGGAUUCUUUUUCUCCUCUUCUAUGCUCUGGUGAGGUUCCCGACUUAGGAAAUCUUUAUUCUACUCCUCUUCUCGCUCAAAGUUUUUUGAGGAUCACGCGGGUAAUUUUUGAAAUUUGUAUGAUAUCGAUGUGAUGGAGUUCUAUCUUGGUGCCUCUUGUCUGCCUUGAUUUCUUCUGAGGAGUUGAGCUCCACGGGAUUCUUGCGCACAUCGCCAUCAUUCACAUGUCUGAGUAUCCCAGAACGAAGGAUGUUUGUAAUUGCUUCAAUACUAGUAGUGGCGAGAUAACCCCCAUGUCCCCAGUACUGGUGCAGAUUGUUUGGGAGUACUGCCAUACUUUGUAUCGUUGUGAUCACGAGAGUCUAUUGUAGAUGAAGGUCCGAGAUUCUGGUUAUGUGUUGACGGAUGUGAUACAGUGGACGGGUUAGUAUAGGAGUUGUGUGAAUAUUACUCCUUGUAUCCGUGUACCAGAUUGUAUGACCAGAUAUUUCGAGAAUUCNNNNNNNNNNNNNNNNNNNNNNNNNNNNNNNNNNNNNNNNNNNNNNNNNNNNNNNNNNNNNNNNNNNNNNNNNNNNNNNNNNNNNNNNNNNNNNNNNNNNGACGAGUAGCUGGUGUCCCAGCUACGAUCUGUCCCUACGUUGGAUCUGUAGUAUAGUCAGGCCAUGUGCCCCUUUAGUUGCACCUGUCUGUACUCAGACAGUUUAAACUCUUCCGCUGGCUUGUAACUGAAUGACUGCUAUUAUGGGUCGUGAGACCCUUAAUGUGUAAUNNNNNNNNNNNNNNNNNNNNNNNNNNNNNNNNNNNNNNNNNNNNNNNNNNNNNNNNNNNNNNNNNNNNNNNNNNNNNNNNNNNNNNNNNNNNNNNNNNNNNNNNNNNNNNNNNNNNNNNNNNNNNNNNNNNNNNNNNNNNNNNNNNNNNNNNNNNNNNNNNNNNNNNNNNNNNNNNNNNNNNNNNNNNNNNNNNNNNNNNNNNNNNNNNNNNNNNNNNNNNNNNNNNNNNNNNNNNNNNNNNNNNNNNNNNNNNNNNNNNNNNNNNNNNNNNNNNNNNNNNNNNNNNNNNNNNNNNNNNNNNNNNNNNNNNNNNNNNNNNNNNNNNNNNNNNNNNNNNNNNNNNNNNNNNNNNNNNNNNNNNNNNNNNNNNNNNNNNNNNNNNNNNNNNNNNNNNNNNNNNNNNNNNNNNNNNNNNNNNNNNNNNNNNNAUCGGUAUGCCAUGCGUACGUGUGUCGUACUUGAUAUGUAUGGGGUUCGAUUACCUAGUCGUGAACUUUAGUAGCACUCCUUACAAGGAAAUGCCCCUUUGUGAUCCAACGAGCCUUGGUAGUUCGCUACUGCUCNNNNNNNNNNNNNNNNNNNNNNNNNNNNNNNNNNNNNNNNNNNNNNNNNNNNNNNNNNNNNNNNNNNNNNNNNNNNNNNNNNNNNNNNNNNNNNNNNNNNNNNNNNNNNNNNNNNNNNNNNNNNNNNNNNNNNNNNNNNNNNNNNNNNNNNNNNNNNNNNNNNNNNNNNNNNNNNNNNNNNNNNNNNNNNNNNNNNNNNNNNNNNNNNNNNNNNNNNNNNNNNNNNNNNNNNNNNNNNNAGACCCUUAAUGUGUAAUAUUAUGUCUGUGGCUCUUCCGAGCCUCUUAAAUAAAGCUUGUAUGUUUAUGGUUAUGUUGUGACGCCAUCGAUGUAUCUAUACAUAUCGGUAUGCCAUGCGUANNNNNNNNNNNNNNNNNNNNNNNNNNNNNNNNNNNNNNNNNNNNNNNNNNNNNUCUACACUCGCUGGUGACCGACACCUGCUUUGUUGGGUCAUGUAUGCCUGUCCUUGUGCGGUACUGCCACUUUGGUUUGUGACUAGACUUGUCGAUCCGGGUUCUUUGACAUUGGAAUGCUAGCGACACUAUUGCAUACGUGAGUCAAAANNNNNNNNNNNNNNNNNNNNNNNNNNNNNNNNNNNNNNNNNNNNNNNNNNNNNNNNNNNNNNNNNNNNNNNNNNNNNNNNNNNNNNNNNNNNNNNNNNNNGUAAAAGUAUUUUCCAGUAUAAAAAUAAUUCCAGAAAUGUUUAAAACUUCAAAAAUUCAUAGAAAUUAAUCUGUAACUCCAAUGAAAAUAAUUUAUAUAUGAAAAAGUAUCAGAAAAAUUCAAGGAAUCUGAAUAUGCUAUUUUCAUUCAUGUUUGAAAAAGUUACAGAACCCAAACAUGUAGAUUAAUGAAUAAGUCAAUUCUUAUAAAUAUUUUAUAAAUGGAAUUUGGAAAAUAUUCAAAUUUCAUUAUGAAUGAAACGUUCAAACAAUGUUCUAAUAACAAACCAGUACCUUAACAUGACAUCUCAUGCAUGGUAACAUCAAGUUGAUCUGAGCAUCAGGUCGAAUCAAUUAAAUCGGUAUCCGAGAAUACCUCGUUUGAAUUGAUAUUUGAAUGUGAUUCAAAUCAACGUCAAACCUAAUACAUGUUUAUUUUAUUAGUUUACCACCUUGCAUUCUCAUGCCAUGCUCAUGCAUCAUCUUGUUGCCUAUGAUUGUUAUUGAUUGUUGCCCUUCAUCUAGGUAGGCUCCGCACCCCCGGAUUCCACCGAAUAUCGAGAAUAUUGUCCCUCCUCUGAGCAACAAGGCAAGCAACCAUUUUGAUCAUCCCGAUAAAUCCCAUGUUCUUGCUCCUGCACUUAUUUGUUGCAUUAGGAUCAAAUGCUUCAAAUGCUUUUGCCACGUUAGUUGAACCCACUUCCUUUGCAUGACCUAACCUUGUCACAGUAAAUAGCCGAACCUUGCAACCUAGCAUACCUGGUAGUUGCUUGAGCCAUGUUGUGCCUUAUCCUGCUAUGCAUGCUAUGCUUAGAGUUGUGUAUGGUCUGUCAUCUGGGAGAUGAACAGAAUUGUGAGAAUGUGUUCGGUAAGCAAAGGUUGUGUGUUGAACCUGAUUUGGUAAAGGUACCGGUGAAAGGCUGUGUAGGAGUACAUGGCGGGUUGUUUCAUUGGAACCGUCCUUAGGAACUGAGUUCCGUGUAUGUAAUCCAAGACUAGAUACUACCACAUGNNNNNNNNNNNNNNNNNNNNNNNNNNNNNNNNNNNNNNNNNNNNNNNNNNNNNNNNNNNNNNNNNNNNNNNNNNNNNNNNNNNNNNNNNNNNNNNNNNNNAUAGUGUCGCUAGCAUUCCAAUGUCAAAGANNNNNNNNNNCAACUUUACCUUAGUCGGGACCGUUUGCGUCUUUUGACUCACGUAUGCAAUAGUGUCGCUAGCAUUCCAAUGUCAAAGAACCCGGAUCGACAAGUCUAGUCACAAACCAAAGUGGCAGUACCGCACAAGGACAGGCAUACAUGACCCAACAAAGCAGGUGUCGGUCACCAGCGAGUGUAGACGAGUCGUAGCAAGCUACAAGGACUCCAUUACAUCGCGUGACAUUUCCCCAAAGGGGACAGACACAGCAGCUAAGAAGGACACAUGCCGGUCGACCAAUGUGUCCAGAGCAGUAGCGAACUACCAAGGCUCGUUGGAUCACAAAGGGGCAUUUCCUUGUAAGGAGUGCUACUAAAGUUCACGACUAGGUAAUCGAACCCCAUACAUAUCAAGUACGACACACGUACGCAUGGCAUACCGAUUUGUAUAGAGACAUCGAUGGCAUCACAACAUAACCAUAAACAUACAAGAUUUAUUAAGAGGCUCGGAAGAGCCACACACAUAACAUUACACAUUAAGGGUCUCACGACCCAUAAUAGCAGUCAUUCAGUUACNNNNNNNNNNAUGUAUAGAUACAUCGAUGGCGUCACAACAUAACCAUAAACAUACAAGCUUUAUUUAAGAGGCUCGGAAGAGCCACAGACAUAAUAUUACACAUUAAGGGUCUCACGACCCAUAAUAGCAGUCAUUCAGUUACAAGCCAGCGGAAGAGUUUAAACUGUCUGAGUACAGACAGGUGCAACUAAAGGGGCACAUGGCCUGACUAUACUACAGAUCCAACGUAGGGACAGAUCGUAGCUGGGACACCAGCUACUCGUCGUCGUCGAUGUCUACGAAGAACCCUCCAUUAGGGUCAUUAGCAACCUCUGCAACAUUUAUUAAGCAAACAUGAGUACGAAGGUACUCAGCAAGACUUUAGGAUAUCUAACUACUCAUGCAAGGUAUCAAAAGAGUAUUGUGGGGUUUCAUGCGGAAAGCCAGCAUCUCACUCGUGGCUAAACAACUUGCAUUUUUAAAUAAUUUUGACAACUUGAUUUCUCGCACACGACUCCACUAACACCAUAACAAUACACUAUCGUGGAAUCAUUCCGUCUCCAUACACGCUUAUCUUGACAAUUUUAUGAGUCCAAGUAGUCCAUAUCCGCGGACGCGGUUAUUCGAAUAGAUCAUAACCCUGCAGGGGUGUACUUCGUCACACACGCUCUCGCCACUUAUCGCCAUGUGCGCGUCAUGCACCUCGGCAACCUUCAAGCGGAAGCCCAGCGAGGGAGUCGNNNNNNNNNNCUCGUCGAUGUCUACGAAGAACCCUCCAUUAGGGUCAUUAGCAACCUCUACAACAUUUAUUAAGCAAACAUGAGUACGAAGGUACUCGGCAAGACUUUAGGAUAUCUAACUACUCAUGCAAGGUAUCAAAAGAGUAUUGUGGGGUUUCAUGCGGAAAGCCAGCAUCUGACUCGUGGCUAAACAACUUGCAUUUUAAAAUAAUUUUGACAACUUGAUUUCUCGCACACGAGUCCACUAACACCACAACAAUACACUAUCGUGGAAUCAUUCCAUCUCCAUAUGGAAUUGCCGUCCACGACACUCACGCUUAUCUUGACAAUUUUAUGAGUAGCCAUUGAAGUUAUCUAUGAACAACAUAUGUCUCCAAGUAGUGCAUAUCCACGGACACGGCUGUUCGAAUAGAUCAUAACCCUGCAGGGGUGUAAUUUGUCACACACGCUCUCGCCACUUAUCGCCAUGUGCGCGUCUUGCACCUCGGCAACCUUCAAGCGGAAGCCCAGCGAGGGAGUCGGCCACGACCGUUAACCACACUAGUACCUAGUCCAGGUUUAUCGCCUAUCUGAGAGUAACCCGUACGGAAGUCCGGCCGAGGUUUUCGCGACGGCCUCAAACGAUGCGCGCAGGGUCCCCAAGCCCACCAUCCGGGUGCCACUUGGUAGACCGUGCCACUGCCUACCGCAUCACGGCCCACCUGUCAGGUCAGCACCAUGCACGGCCUCCAGCAUUACUAUAAACACCAAAAACUACUUGCAACUCCUNNNNNNNNNNCCUGAGAGUAACCCGUACGGAAGUCCGGCCGAGGUUUCCGCCACAGCCUCAAAUGAUGUGCGCAGGGUCCCCAAGCCCACCAUCCGGGUGCCACUUGGUACACCAUGCCACUGCCUACCACAUCACGGCCCACCUCUCAGGUCAGCACCAUCACGGCCUCCAGCAUUACUAUAAACACCAAAAACUACUUGCAACUCCUAGACAGAGUACUAAGCGAUUAAUAGGCCGAGCGGGGUCAUAUUUGAGGGCCCAACAUGUGGUAGUAUCUAGUCUUGGAUUACAUACACGGAACUCAGUUCCUAAGGACGGUUCCAAUGAAACAACCCGCCAUGUACUCCUACACAGCCUUUCACCGGUACCUUUACCAAAUCAGGUUCAACACACAACCUUUGCUUACCGAACACAUUCUCACAAUUCUGUUCAUCUCCCAGAUGACAGACCAUACACAACUCUAAGCAUAGCAUGCAUAGCAGGAUAACAACACAACAUGGCUCAAGCAACUACCAGGUAUGCUAGGUUGCAAGGUUCGGCUAUUUACUGUGAAAAGGUUAGGUCAUGCAAAGGAAGUGGGUUCAACUAACGUGGCAAAAGCAUUUGAAGCAUUUGAUCCUAAUGCAACAAAUAAGUGCAGGAGCAAGAACAUGGGAUUUAUCGGGAUGAUCAAAAUGGUUGCUUGCCUUGUUGCUCAGAGGAGGGACAAUAUUCUCGAUAUUCGGUGGAAUCCGGGGGUGCGGAGCCUACCUAGAUGAAGGGCAACAAUCAAUAACAAUCAUAGGCAACAAGAUGAUGCAUGAGCAUGGCAUGAGAAUGCAAGGUGGUAAACNNNNNNNNNNUAGAGGAGGGACAAUAUCCGUCAGACGGAUAUUCGGUGCAAUCCGGGGGUGCGGAGCCUACCGAGAUGAAGGGCAACAAUCAAUAACAAUCAUAUGCAACAAGAUGAUGCAUGAGCAUGGCAUGAGAAUGCAAGGUGGUAAACUAAUAAAAUCAACAUGUAUUAGGUUUGAAGUUGAUUUGAAUCACAUUCAAAUAUCAAUUCAAGCGAGGUAUUCUCGGAUACCGAUUUAAUUGAUUCGACCUGAUGCUCAGAUCAACUUGAUGUUAGCAUGCAUGACAUGUCAUGUUAAGGUACUGGUUUGUUAUUAGAACAAUGUUUGAUCAUGUCAUUCAUAAUGAAAUUUGAAUAUUUUCCAAAUUCCAUUUAUAAAAUAUUUAUAAGAAUUGACUUAUUCAUUAAUCUACAUGUUUGGGUUCUAUAACUUUUUCAAACAUGAAUGAAAAUAGCAUAUUCAGAUUCCUUGAAUUUUUCUGAUACUUUUUCAUAUAUAAAUUAUUUUCAUUGGAGUUACAGAUUAAUUUCUAUGAAUUUUUGAAGUUUUAAACAUUUCUGGAAUUAUUUUUAUACUGGAAAAUACUUUUACCGCAUCAGCAUGACAUCAGCAGGUCCAUCUGGCCGUUGAAAGUCAAACCUGACCAGUGGGACCCACUGGUAAGUGUCUCUGGUCAGUUUUAGAUUAAGAUUAAACUUAAUUAGCUGAUUAAUCUUACUGGACCCACAUGUCAGUGUCUUAUUAAUUUAUCUGAUUUAUUUUUAUUAUUUCUAAAUAUCCACAGGCUAGCCCCACCCGUCAGUGACUCAGGCCAGUUGAGAUCCACCGGCGGCGAGGUCGUCCUCGCCGGCGGGGAGCCUCCGACGAGCACCAGAACGUCGGGGGGCAUCGGAAAUGGCGCACGGAGGGCCAAACUCGGCGCGGAGAGCACCAAAGGAACGGCCACUCGAUGGCGCGCACGAUGGGACAAGCCCCAGGGGCUGGGGUGGACGGAAUCAACGCCGGCGACGAGCUUGGCGGCGACCNNNNNNNNNNNNNNNNNNNNNNNNNNNNNNNNNNNNNNNNNNNNNNNNNNNNNNNNNNNNNNNNNNNNNNNNNNNNNNNNNNNNNNNNNNNNNNNNNNNNAUAGAUAGUCCAGGAUGGUCUUACUUUAAGGUUGCCAGCAACAUUGAAGGUCACUGCGGUGGUCGAAUGGAUCACAUAGAAGAUGGAGAAGUUCAAGCAAAAUGCAAGCACCCCUGAGCCUAGGAUGAUAAUCAGCGAAGGAAAGACAGAGUCGUGUGUGUAGAACCAAUCAAUUACGCCACCUCCUUCAAGCAACAUUGCUGGAAGAGCCAGUAUCAUGGUGGCAAAAGGUGCCAUGUAGUAUACUGUGUUAAUGUUGUAGAAACAAAGAAUACUUAAUAAAUCAUCUGACCGAGGCAAGAAGUUACAGGACUGAACCUGACAGUAGCACUACAGUAAAAACUAAAUCUUUUGAUCUAGUAUCAUUUUAGUAGGAAAGAAGAUAAAAUGUUUAAAAAUUGAGAAUGCCAUACUCCAAACCAACCACUGCAGANNNNNNNNNNNNNNNNNNNNNNNNNNNNNNNNNNNNNNNNNNNNNNNNNNNNNNNNNNNNNNNNNNNNNNNNNNNNNNNNNNNNNNNNNNNNNNNNNNNNNNNNNNNNNNNNNNNNNNNNNNNNNNNNNNGGCAGCAACACCACAACUCUACUUCUUCUUUGUGAACAGGAAUAGACAGUGCGGUACCUGUGGUUGCAGGGGUGAAGGAUUUCAUAGUCUGCAUGAAGGAGACCGGGAUGUACCGCAGGCUGACGUUCCCGAGCACAAUGUUCAUGCAGAACACGAAGGACAUGGGGAAGAUCCUCUNNNNNNNNNNNNNNNNNNNNNNNNNNNNNNNNNNNNNNNNNNNNNNNNNNNNNNNNNNNNNNNNNNNNNNNNNNNNNNNNNNNNNNNNNNNNNNNNNNNNCCUCUCUGAUCCCGGUGCUACCCAACAUAAGAAUAGCAUCCAAAUGAACAACAGCACAACAAGAUGCAACACACACAUGAUGCAUGAGAUGAAAAUGAACAUGCAUCUCUAUUCUAGCUACUUGCACAUGCAUGAGAAGAAAAUACAAUUUCUGGACAGAACUGCACUCUAAGCUAUCUUGACAUGCACGAGGAUGACAUCAACAGAUGCGUCACAUGAAAACGAUGCAAACACAUAUAAAGAACGUAACAAACGGAGCUACGGAUCAACCGGAAACAACGAAACAAGAAAUGAAGUCCUAUGGAUCAAAUCCAUCACAACNNNNNNNNNNAUGCAUGUACUCUCCCGGAUCCACGUACUCGCUCUCUGAUCCUGAUGCUACCCAACAUAAGAAUAGCAUCCAAAUGAACAACAACACAACAAGAUGCAACACGCACACGAUGCAUGAGAUGAAAAUGAACAUGCAUCUCUAUUCUAGCUACUUGCACAUGCAUGAGAAGAAAAUACAACUUCUGGACAGAACUGAAGUCUAAGCUAUCUUGACAUGCAUUAGGUGACAUGAAGAGAUGCAUCACGUGAAAACGAUGCAAAAACAUAAAAAGAACGUUACGAACGGAGCUACAGAUCAAUCGAAAACAACGAAACAAGAAAUGAAGUCCUAUGGAUCAAAUCCAUCACAACACACUCCAAUAGUAUACUUAUGGUAUUCCGAGGUUGCCAUAGCACAAAACAAACAAGUAUGGAUGGGGUGGUGCAAGUAAUAUCACCACACCAUCAACUAUGCACUCACAAGCAUCAAAACAUCAAAACUUUACAUUCUGUCCUAAACAACAUCAUANNNNNNNNNNGGUUUCCAUAUCAGAAAACAAACAAGUAUGGAUGGGGUGGUGCAAGUAAUAUCACCACACCANNNNNNNNNNNNNNNNNNNNNNNNNNNNNNNNNNNNNNNNNNNNNNNNNNNNNNNNNNNNNNNNNNNNNNNNNNNNNNNNNNNNNNNNNNNNNNNNNNNNACCCAACGAGUUUGCUGGAGAUUCAGGUUAGGCUGGGUGAAGAUGUACUUGAGACUCUUGUGAUCGGUGAGCUUCAACCUUUCGUUCCAACAAGAGGUGUCUCCAAGUCAUCAGAGCAUGAACCACUGCUGCUAGCUCAAGAUCAUGCACAUAAUAAUUCUUCUCCGCUGGCUUCAACUGCGUGGAGGUAUAAGCAACCACUUUCUUCUCUUGCAUUAGAACUGUACCAAGACCUUGAAGAGAGGCGUCGCAGAACACUUGGUAAGGUUUAGAAUCAUCAGGAGGAACCAAGACUGGAGUAGAGGUGAGCUUCUCUUUGAGUGUGUCGAAGGCCAACUGACACUCUGGAGACNNNNNNNNNNAAUUGCUGCCAGCUCAAGAUCAUGCACACGAUAAUUCUUCUCCGCUGGCUUCAACUGCCUGGAGGUAUAAGCAACCACUUUCUUCUCUUGCAUUAGAACUGCACCAAGACCUUGAAGAGAGGCGUCGCAGAACACUUGGUAAGGUUUAGANNNNNNNNNNNNNNNNNNNNNNNNNNNNNNNNNNNNNNNNNNNNNNNNNNNNNNNNNNNNNNNNNNNNNNNNNNNNNNNNNNNNNNNNNNNNNNNNNNNNAUACCUGGUUCAAGCUCCAUAACAAAUUCAACUUCUCGGUGCGGAGGCAUUCCUGGCAGCUCUUCUGGAAACACAUCUUCAUAUUCGCAGACCACUCGGACUUGCGAAAUAGGGUUAAUCUCACCCUUUUCAUACAAAGAGAACAGACGGAUUGUGUCAUCGCGCGCCGCGAAUAUAAUCAUGUCCUCCGAUGAGUGAGUAAGCUUCACUUCUUUAGCUUCACAAUCAAUCGAUGCCUUGUUCAUGGCCAGCUAGUCCAUACCAAGGAUCAAGUCAAUGUCAGAAUUGCCUAAGACAAUAGGAGAUGCGAGAAAAGAAUAACUACCCAUCUUGACAGAAACAUCCGGAACAACCCAACGAGAACUCAUAAGCAUACACGGAGAAACAAUGUCCAAAGACUUAGCCAACUCUUGAAGAUGGAAAUCAUGCUUUGUCGCAAAAGGAUAUGACAAGAAAGAAUGCGAUGCACCAAAAUCAAACAACAAUUUAGCAGGAAUAUCAUUGACGAGGAGGUUACCCAUGAUCACAUCUGACGAGUUUUUUGCCUCAGCCGCAUUCACCAUGUUGACUCGAGCAGACCUAGGGUUGAACUUCACGAUAGCAUUGCUUGGAGGUUUUCCUGGAGGAGGAGGCGGAAGAUGGAGCUGAUAGUGCACUUGUUGGCAUAGUGACCCUUCUGCCCACACUUGUGACAAGUAACAUCUGCUGGCUGACGGUACUGUGUCUGAGGAGGCCCUUGCUUCUUCUGCUGGAAUCUUUGCUGGAAAGCUGGGUUGGGUGGGUGGGAAAAACCACGGCCACCAGAAUGCUUGAACUGCUGCUUGUGCCAAGGAGGAGGAGGAGACACCCAAUACUUCUGUUGCUUCUGAACAACAUGAGUAGAGGAAGACAAGCUGGAAUCUCUGAAGCGCUUCUUAGAAUUCUCCACCCUCAGCAAGGCUGCCUAAGCCCUGAGAGCUAAGUUGUAGAACUUAUCGAACUCCUCGGGAUCGUGCAAAGCGAGAGCUAACUGCAAAUCUUCUUUCAAGCCACCUCUGAACUAAUAUAUCUUGGUCUUCUAAUCAGGGAUAUCCUGCAAGGCGUAUCGGGCUAGCUCGUGGAACUCGACGUUGUACUUGUACACGGAGUUACCACCUUGCUUCAAGCGCCUGAACUUCUCAUGCAUUUCCUCCACAAAGCUAGACAGAAUGUAGUGGGAUCUGAAGUCACGGCAGAACUCAUCCCAAGUGAUCACUCUAGCACCCCUGGAAUCCUUCAACUGUUGCCACCAGAUAGAUGCUUGCCCCUUCAGCUAGAAUGUUGCAAACUNNNNNNNNNNUGAACAUUUCUGCAUUCAAAGUGCUUGUUCAUGUUGUGGACCCAAUCCUCAGCAUCAAACGGCUGGUCACAGGAAGUGAAAGUCUUCGACUGAUUUGACAGGAACUGACUCAGAUUAGCAAACUGAUUGCCACCAUGCUGGAAAUUGCCUUGCUGCUGAUUUGUCCUCUCUUGCAACAACUGUAUCAGCAUCUGAGUGUUUGCAUUUGUAGCAGCCAUCACCGCUUGCCAAGCCUCUGUAGGAGGAGGCGUCGGCGGUGGAGGAUUCUCUAGAGGAGGAGGUGGUGGUGGCACAUCCUCACGACCUGGAUUCUGACGAGUUGGUGGAGCCAUCCUGAAGACGGACAACGCAUUAGCCCAAAAAAUAAAUUGAAGGUAUAACUGAAUCAAAAGGCAGGAGUAUCUGAACAGGAAUAUAGCAAUUGCACUCGAACAAAAUAGUAAGAAUGCUUCCUCAAAGUGACUGUCGACAAAAUUAUGAUUAAGACCACUUGCAAACAAGUAUGAGCUAGAACUCCUCGGAACACAUGUAUGAUCGAGAUUUCAUCCGAUAUCUUCGUGGAUAAGAUCACACUAGCUCGAAUUUACCGUAGCCAUCCUGGGCAAGGUAGUGCACACGAGUUACGAAGUAUCCGCGAGUCGUAGCGAGCUACAAGGACUCUUUAAGACAUAACGAGAACCGCUGUAAGACGACCGUGAAAAAACAUACCCACUGAAUGUCGAAUCCCAACCUCACAUCAUGCAUCUGUAGGAAGAUUGUCCUAUAAGUCACUACUCGAUAUCCCACCUAUNNNNNNNNNNNNNNNNNNNNNNNNNNNNNNNNNNNNNNNNNNNNNNNNNNNNNNNNNNNNNNNNNNNNNNNNNNNNNNNNNNNNNNNNNNNNNNNNNNNNGCUACCGUCAGGUUCAGUCCUGUAAGUUCUUGCCUCGGUCAGAUGAUUUAUUAAGUAUUCUCUGUUUCUGCAGCAUUAACACAGUAUACUACAUGGCACCUUUUGCCACCAUGAUACUGGCUCUUCCAGCAAUGUUGCUUGAAGGAGGUGGCGUAAUUGACUGGUUCUACACACACGACGUCUUUUCUUCGCUGAUUAUCAUCCUAGGCUCAGGGGUGCUUGCAUUUUGCCUGAACUUCUCCAUCUUCUAUGUGAUCCAUUCGACCAUCGCAGUGACUUUCAAUGUUGCUGGCAACCUUAAAGUAAGACCAUCCUGGACUAUCUAUGUUUUCUUCCCAUAAGCUUCUCCUCUAUUUCUAAAACAUGCACAUUGUGCUGUAGAUUGCCAUUGCCGUGUUGGUUUCAUGGCUGAUCUUCUGGAACCCGAUCUCCCCAAUGAAUGCAAUCGGAUGCGCAAUCACGCUCGUCGGUUGUACUUUCUAUGGGUAUGUGAGGCAUCUCAUCUCCCAAUAGAAGGCUGCUGCCCCUCUUGGGAACCAAGGAACGAACUAGCCGAGAAGUCGGGUGGAGAUGCUCCCCCUUGUAGGUGACAAGGAAGAUAAGGUCUAGCAAGGCAGUACUCCCAUACCCAGGACCCGUUCAUUUCAGUGGUUGAUGGUACAUUACGGUUUGGCACACAGAUGCUGAGUGAGUUGAGGGACGCCAGUAAAUUGGUAUGGGGGCAACACUUUUGUGAAGCUGCAUAUGUUGUACUCAGGCGAACUGUGAGGGUUUGUUCAGUCACUAGUUCUCAUAGGGUUGCUAGCUAUCAUCAACUUAGUCAAAUCCCCCCGGACGAUUCAUGCGAUUAGGAUGGUGCUUCUGUUUUCUUGUUUUGCUGCCAUAUGUUUAGACCCUGAACUGCUGGUAUGAAAAUUAAUGGCAUUAUGAUACGAGUCAUCUCCGCAUCGAAAUUCUGUUGCACAUUAUCUUUCUGUUGCAUAUCGUGUCUGAUUGGAAAAAAGAACUAGGAACAUAAAGGUUAAGCCACUUCCCAUGUUUCGUUAAUGUAAAGUAUUAAACGAAU
This 77977-nucleotide long non-coding RNA is filed under the name Hordeum vulgare. RNAcentral describes it as "long non-coding RNA (HVUL_LNC009578)". Lineage: Eukaryota; Viridiplantae; Streptophyta; Magnoliopsida; Poales; Poaceae. The record is from RNAcentral.